RNAcentral lists this long non-coding RNA (80735 nucleotides) under Malus domestica (apple). RNAcentral describes it as "long non-coding RNA (MDOM_LNC005185)". Lineage: Eukaryota; Viridiplantae; Streptophyta; Magnoliopsida; Rosales; Rosaceae. The record is from RNAcentral.
UUUAAGGCAUGGAUACGAUGGAUUCAAGAUAAACCACUAGAACUGAUCGACAAAACGUUUUGUGAUUCAUGCAACAUAUCUGAAGUGGUAAGGUGUCUUCAUGUGGGGCUGUUAUGUGUGCAAAGAGUACCUGAGAAUAGACCAAGCAUGUCAUCUGUGGUUCUGAUGUUGAGCAGUGAUGUUGCCUUGCCACCUCCAAAGCAGCCUGGUUUCUACACUGAACGAAGCGUCAAUGAAUCACCAUCAAAGACACUUCUAUGUUCAGAAAAUACUUUCAGCACUACAUGGAUAGAACCUCGGUAGAUCAUCAUUGCGGUGCUUGUUAGUCCUUCAAUCAACCAUCACAAAACGUGUUCGGAAGGUUGACGUGAAGCUUAUAGCCUUAGCUGGGAAACAAUGAGACCUGCGAUUGUAACUCUGCAAGAAAAAUAUUUAUGAUUACAAGUUUAUCAGUUCCUAAAUCAGAACAAAGAAAGCACUUGGGGUUGUUAGAUGAUUGAAGAAAAAUUAAGUUAUAGCUAAAGUUGUGUUUAUUAUUUAUUGAUUUUAUUUUAUUAUUUCAUGAUAAGAUAAAAUUUAUUGAGAAGGAAAGUAGAUCCUGGUUCGGAUAUUUGAUCAAGUCACCGGAAUUAACACUCUAAGCCUGGUUCGAGAUAGGUGUUUGUCAUUUAAGUUUCUUUGGCAAUCCUCUAUUGGUAGAAAAACUUCAGUGCAGGCAUUUGGACCGCGUGACCAUCGUCCCGCAAACACAAACAUCACGCUAAAGUGAGGCAGCCGUACUGAAGUUUCUCUCCACCGUCUAUUCAAGCAUUUUCAGCGCCUGUUCGGUCUGCCCAUUAUUCAAGCACCCACCAAUAACAGCAUUCCAUGAAGCACCAUCCAAUUUAACAUCUACCCUUCUCAUCCUACAAAUUAAAGUUACACCUUUUUGUUUUGAAGCAAGAAAAAAUAUAUAUUAAAAGGUAAACCCCCAAGAACAACCGUUCCCUAUAUAAUCAAACGGAAGAGCAUGAAGAGCAAAUGAAGGAAUAUGGGAUGAUCCCAAAUAUGACAAUUAGUAAUAAGAAGGCCUUGGUGAUCAAAGGCAUCCGCCACAAAGUUAGCCUCUCUAAAAAUAUGUUUCCAAUCAAUGCAAUCAAAUUUGGUUGCCAUCCACUUGAUAUCUUCAAUAAUAGGAACCAGAUUCCACGGUGUCAUAUCCUGGUCCAACACUGACUGAAUGACCAACUUAGAGUCUCCUUCUACCAUAAUCUUUGUAUAGCCCUUCCCUUGAGCAUAAAGAAGGCCCUCUCUGAGAGCCCUAUCAAGAUUUAGAAAUAGUGGCACCAUCAAGAUUUAAAGCUCCACCGCCGAUGAGUUGCCCAAUAUGAUUCUUUAAGACAAAUCCCCCCCCCCCCGGGAACCUUGUCCCCAGCCACUGAGCCAUAAAAAAUUUAGCUUAACAUAACUCUGAUCUGGAGGGUGCCAUUUAAUAAUCAUGGAAAUAUCAUCAGUAUUUCUACUUAAACCCUUACAAUUGGCUUUAAGAUAUCGCUCACCCAUAAAUAUAGCCAGUAAAGUUUACACCCUUUAUGUUAUCUCUGUUCGAAAAAUACGCAGUUAGAAGUACAUUCCAGGACGCGACAUCUCGUUUAGACAUGUUGAUUGAGAUUUAAUAUUAAAUAACUUAUUUACCCUACUAUGCAAUGACAAUUUUGACCUUAUUAGGUUUAAAAAAUAAAUAAAUAAUUUCUAUAUACACCCCAAAUCACUUUUAAUGUAUUAUUUAUCUUCUUCAACUAUCAAAACCCUUCCGACCCUCUAUUGUUGAACAAAACCCUAACCAAUGAAACUACAAACAUGUUGAUUGAGAAAAAUUAUUUUUGACAAAUGAAACACAAAAUCAGUAUUUCCGAAGCUUCACAUGAGGUAAGACUUCAUUUUUUUUUUGUUUUAGUGAUUUUGACAACAUCAAUAAUUAUUUAUUCUUGCUUUUGUUGCAUUUCAAGCUUCUAUGUUCGUAUUCAUCUUUCAGGGAUUACAUGAAGAAUUAAACACCUAAAAUUACCAUAAAAAAUUAAAACAGACGAUAUGGGUUUUAAUGGUGGAAUUGAAAACAACCUAUAUAUGCUUUAAAUCUCAGGCGGCAUCUUUUGUCAAAAUUCUAGUCGGCAUUUUUUAUCCAAAUUAAAAGCUUUAUCAGAUUUGAGAAAUGUUGGGUGUAUGGAAAAUAUGGGGUACAUGUAGAAAAUGUAAGGUGUAUAUUGAGAAUGUGGAGUGUAAGGGUAUUAUGGGGAAGUAUGUGGGGUGUAUUAAGAUAAUUUUUAAUUGAAAAAGCAAAUCUGGGGUGCAUUAAGAUAAUUUUUAAUUGAAAAGGCAAAUGUGGGGUGUAUUAAGUAUAUAGUUCAUCUAUUUAUUAGAUGAGUGUUAAAUGACGAAAUGAAUUCCGUGUUAGUUGAUUUUUAGUAGAUUUGACAUUUAAAUAGUGACUUAAAAAAUUUACGGUUCAAACCAUUAUGUCCCAUUACAAGAUGAAUAAGAGAGACGAAAUGUAAAUAAAAAAUUUCAAACAAGAAAAUUGCAAGCAUUCUCUCUUUAAAAUUUGAACACGUGACCUCUCCAAAUAAACUAAAAACAAGAUGCUAUCAAAUGAUCUCUAGCAUAAUCUUAUGGUUUGAAUUUCAACAAUUCACCGUGGAUGUUUACUUUUGACACGUAAAACUUUGACACGUGUACAAAUACAUUAUUUAUUGUUUAAAUGGCUUUUCACAGCAGAAAUCGAUGGCUUUCUUUAUCCCGCAUACGUUCUAUUGACAAGGCCGCCAGGGAUUUUUCCGAAAUUGUAGAUUUGUGAAAACCUAGUUCAGUUUGGUUGCUUACAAGUUGUAGAUAUCAGUUUAGAGGGAAGGGUUGAGGUUGGUCAUGUAUCUGAUUGAUCUGAGUUGAUCUCAAAACUUAGGUCAAAUUUGUCAAGAAGAUCGACUGCUUGGGCGAUAUUGUGACAUGGUUUUAUACUUAAUAGUCUGAAUUAUAUGCUGGACAGACAUGAACAGGGACUUGUUUGACACCUCCAGUGCAGCAGUGCUUACGUUCGUACGCCUCGUCUCCUAGGCCUUUGAAAACCCGAUACCCUAUCUUCAGAAAAAACAUCAUCAUGCUUAUUUACGAGGCAAAGAAAUUAAACGAGUAAAAGUUUGAAACGGAUCUCUGAGUUUUGUUCUUCAAGUGGUACCAACAUGUAGUUUGAAACACAUCUCAGAACAGCUGUUAGACUUAAUUUACGGAACAAAACUGAAGAAUGCAAGUUCUCUCCAGAGUUAAAGCCUCUCAUAAAAUAAUUAGCUUCAAGUAAAUAAAGUAAGAGUCUAGAGCAAAACUUCUUUGUCUUGAACUUGUUCAAUGCUGCCCAGUUCCAAAGCCUGAAUAUAUAUGUCAAUGGUCAUAAGGAAUGCAUCUCCUAUUGUUUCCUUUCUUCCCUCAUCGAUCGAUCUACACCAUACGAUUGAACAGCCUGCCGGAAUUGAGUUUCCAAAACUUCUUGGCCCUAGAGACGACUUGGCCAUAAUCUUGCUUGCUUUUCUCUCCUGUCACAGUAUUUCCGUUUUGUUUUCCUUCGUUUCUAUCCCGGUAAAUCCUCAAAGUCGUACUGCAUAACCAGUCUUUCCACUGUAUUCGGACUCACUACAUGUCUCAGGUGCAACUCUUUUAAGACUCUGGCUGCCAGUUCCAGUUCUCCUUCGUGCGCAAUCCCUUCCACAAGAAUGGUGUAGGUCAUUUCGUUAGGCAUACGCCCUUUCUCUAUCAUCAUCUCAAAAACCUGGAAGGACAAGUCUGUUCUUCGAGACUUGCAGAAACCGAGUAUAAGGGCAUUGAAAUUGUCCGUAUCAGGCCUAAGGCUGUUUUCUUCCAUUACCUUGAAAAUCUCCAUGGCCUCAUCCAGCAUACCCUCCAAACACAAUCCUCUGAUCAGAGAUGAAUACGUAUAAGAAUCUGGAGUGAAACCGUGCUUGGUCAUUUCGUACAAUAUCUGAAACGCUGGAAACGUGUUCCCUUUCCGACAUAAGCUUGUGAUUACGUUUUUGUACAACUCGUAGCUGGAGCACUUUUGUUUAUUGCAGAGGCUUUGAAUGAUAGAGAAUGCCUCUGGCACCAAACCUUCCUCACAUAGCACAGCAAUGGCAUUGAAUGUUCCCUCAUUAGGAUUACACCGCCGAUGAACCAUUUGGUCUAGACACUUGACCGCACCAUCCACUUUCCCCUCUUUGCAGAGAUGAGCAAUGAUCGGAUUGUAGCUGGCAGCAGUAGGCUUGAACCGACCUCUCUGCAUUUCGUCCAAAACUUGAAGAGCAUGUUCAGUUCUACCAUGAAGUGCAAGUGAACCAAUUAAGAUGUUAUACGUAACUAUGGAAGGGGCUCGAUCCUCUCCUUCCAUCUCAGACAAAAGCACAUUUGCCUCUUCCCACCUACCCUCGUGACACAAACUCCUUAGUACGAUGUUAUAGCUCACAACAUUUGGAUCGAACCCCAUCGAAGGCAAACUCCUAAAGAGCCGAAAUGCCUCAUCAGUCCUACCUUCCUUGCACAAACCAGUUAACAAGACAUUGUAACUGACCACAUUAGGCUUUCCACCUUUAGCAAUUAUCUCCUGCAGGAGCUUCAUGGCUUCAUUGACCCCUCUUUCCUUAUAAGCAGCUUCAAGUAAGAAAGAGUACGUAUAAACAUUCGGAACCAGACCCUUCUGUAUCAGUCUAUCCAAAAGCUGCAAGCUCUGAUUCAAGUUUCCACGAACGCAAAGCCCUCUGACGAGCGAAUUGUAGGUCACAGUAUUCGUCGGAUAUCCGUACUCCUCCAUCUUCUCUACCAGCUGCAUUGCAUACCCAAUGUUCCCUCUUUUACACAAGUAAUUCACCAAGAAAGUAUAAGAAGCUGCAUCAGGUAUAAUGCCGGAAACAACCAUCAUUUCGAUGACUCUGACCGCCUUUCGCAUCUUAUUCGCUUUGCAGAGGUCAUACAAGAGCUGAGUUGCCUGAGCCACAUCAGGCUUCUGGUCCUUCCCCACCAUAGACUCCAAAUGCACAAAGGCAUCAAUGAGUCUGAGCUCCUUACUUCUUCUGUCAUUCUUGGCAUGCCUCCAGUUGGGCAAGGCGAAAACGGUGUCUUUCGGAGAAAUCGUGAUCUGGGAAGCCGCCAAAACUCUGGAAAAUCCCUUGCUAAGGGAAAGGGGUUGGAGAUUCCUGAUGUGGGAGAAGAACCCACAAGUUUUUCUGGUGGUUUCUGGCAAUGGGUGUGCAAUUGGAGACACAUAAUUUACAAGAACCGCCAUUGACAGAGCUAAAAAUAUGCUACAAAGUUUGAAACUUUCUGCCACAGAUAACAAGAAUCAAAAUUCUGGGUUGGCUAAAUUCUCAUCAAAUGAAGAUAAACAAAUGGAUAACAGAGUGUUUUAUCAGGAUGAACACGGAUAAGAUGGACCGGAUAAUUUUAACACGAAUCAAUCAAAAAACGAGAGACGAACUAGAAACGGAGAGAGAGAGAGAGAGAGAGAGGAAAGAACCAACAGGCACACACUCGAUAUCUUCAGCCGCUGGGUUUUUUUCAGGAAUGAUUGGUUGGUCCAUUUGCCAUCCCACUGCUAAGUGCUAAACAAAAUGAAUUUCCGCUUUUCCAUUUCUAAUCUGGUAACUUGUAAAAUCAGACCCCAAAAUAUAGAUGGUAACUGGAAAAACAAAUUAAAACGUCACAAUAACGAUAAACUCGUUAACGUUACUACUAAUACUAUCACUGUCCAGUGUGAGGACCACUACGACACUUUGUUAUCCUGUGAUAUAGAUACAUAAAAAUAAUUAACCUGUGAUAUAGGUUGAUUAUAAAAAUUAAAAAUAAAAUCUAUAAAUGGGGUUUAAAGCAGGAGGAAGAACAAUAAAUAACAAAAAUUAAAAAUAAAAAGAAAUAAUCAAAGAGAUAAUUAGGAAGAAAUUUGAUUUUUAUAAUAAAUCUUAUCAUUGAAUAGAGAAUUAUUGAUAAUUAAAUAAUUAAAUUUAAGAAAUUGGACUUAUUUUAAUAAAUUGGACUAUUCCUACUAUUGGCUAAAAAAAUUGGACUUAUAUCAAGUUUUCCCUAUAAUUAUAUAGUAUGUUUAAUUACAUUAUGUUGUAUCAUUGUCAUUAGACGCUAUAAUAGUGGUUACUUAUUUUACGAAGUUGCUCUCGAGCUUGAUCAAGUGUGUGGUUUUAAUGAAUUUGUACUUCUAAUUAUAGCUAUAAAUGUGAUUUGGGUGUACUUUCACAAAUUUAGAAACUCUUGUUUUAUUCAAGAUUUAGAAAUAUAGUCUCUCCAAACUCCCUCGGACAAUGUUUGAGGCCUCUCGAGCAAUGCUCUAACCAUCGCGAGACCCCUUGAUAUGUGCUCAAGGGCUUGAGUAAAUACACUUAGCCACUUCAGUUCCAAGCAUCUUGCCACAUCAUUCAAUAACUUGGAUACCGAAAAUCACCAAAAUUUCUACAAGAACAAUCUCCAUUUUUGAAAUGGUGAAACCUCAAGGAAUCUCUAACAAUAAUCUGCAAACCAACAAUCUUGGCCAUGAACUUGAUGGCAUUACGGCAGUCCCCAAGUAUCCUUAAAUUCUUAAAUACCCGAAUCGUCGAUUCGCCAUUCAAAUUGAGUAUCCCAAACGCAACAGCAAUUUUCUCACUGUGGUUGCAAGGGAUCCCCACUUUCUCCUCUCGAUCCACAUCUUGCAGAACAAAAUCAGUGUUGGGGACAUGCCCUGCCAAUCUCAUCUUCUCACCCAUGUCAAUCAGAAACUUGUAUAUCUCCGCGCUUCGCUCGUUACUCCUAUCACCGGUAACAAAAGAGUAGACUCUAUUCUUCAGCUGAACCCAAGAACAACCCGGUGUUUUUGUGAUUCCUCCGUCUCUCAUUAACUUCCUAGUUUCUGAAGCUUCUUCCCAUCGCUUGGCGGUGACUAAAAUGUUGGACAACAGCACAUAGUUGCCACGGUUAUCUGGUUCAAUCUCGAAGAGCUUGUUAGCUGCAAUUUUUGCUAAGUCUACAUUUUUAUGAACUCUGCACGCGCCAAGCAAUGCUCCCCAAGCACCGGGAGUAGGUUCCAUUGGCAUUCUUUGUACGAACUGAUAUGCCUCUACUAGGCGACCAGCACGGCUAAGCACAUCAACCAUGCAUGAGUAAUGUGUAGACAUCGAAAUUUCAGUAAAUAAAUGUUGACCGAUAAAUCAAAGUUUCGACGCUCAUGUAUUACAUAAAUUUUACACGUAGCGUAUGUCUAAACAAAAAAUCGAAAUAAGUUGGAAAAGUCAUCAAAUAGGACACGUGUCAACACCUGGCAGAAAUGACUUAUUUCAUCUGGAAUAUUAUAUUCAAAAUUAGGCCUUGGAAAAUUCUAUAAAUAGAAGCCAAUUUCAUUCAUUUGAAGGGACCAAUUUUCAUAUAACACCUUGAAGCUCUGAAACUCUGAAACUCCGAAGCUCUCAAGCGUCCAGGUUCCCGAAGAAUCAAGAAAGCCUUCUUCGUUCUUCGUUCAUCGUUCUUCAAGAUCAAGCCCCAACGGCCCUUGAAGAAAGCGUUCUUCGUUCAUCGUUCUUCCAAGAUCAAGCCCCGAUGACCCUUGGAUUAACAAUCAUCCACCUUCAAGAUCAAGCCCCGACGGCCCUUGAAGAAAGCGUUCUUCGUUCAUCGUUCUUCCAAGAUCAAGCCCUGACGGCCCUAGGAUCAACAAUCAUCCACCUUCAAGAUCAAGCCCCGACGGCCCUUGAAGAAAACUUUCUUCGUUCAUCGUUCUUCCAAGAUCAAGCCCCGACAGCCUUUGGAUCAACAAUCAUCCAUCUUCAAGAUCAAGCCCAAAAGCCCUUGAAGAUCUGUUCAUCACUGUUCUUCAAGAUCAAGCCCAAAAGCCCUAGAAGAUCCGUUCAUCACCGUUAUUCAAGAUCAAGCCUCAACAGUCAUUGAAGAAACGCUCAUCCUCAAGAUCAAGCCCCAACAGCUCCUUGAAGAUUCGCUCAAAUCCACUUUCAAGAUCAAGCCCACGACCCUUGAAGAACGUUCAUCCUUAGAUCAAGCCCAACGGCCCUUUGGAUCAAUUGCACAUCCACAAAUACACACCUUACGGAGAUCGAGUCAGAGGAUCAAAUUAGAGAUUGUAACCCUAAAAAAUCAUCAAAUACAAAAUAUUAUUUUGUGCAUGUUGUUCUUGUCUCUUUCGUUUCAGGAAAAUUUCGUGUUUACAAAUUUGGCACACCCAGUGGGACAAUCUCUACCUCUCAUCUCUUUCUCCGUUCAAGAAAUUCAAACACACCUCAAAUUCAAUGGCAUCAAGCAAGGGACAAGCCGUUCUCGCAACCACUGAGGGAACGAUCCUAAGCAUUUUUGCCGCAAACAGACAAUCCAUUGGCGCCACAACCGCUCCUCAACAUGCCACUUCAAAAUUGGUGCCGCUAAAAGAGCAAGGGAAGCAUCAAAGGUGCGAGUCUGUCAUCAACCUGACCUCGCUGGGGGCACCGAAGCAUGCUGCUGAGGCACACAAGAUGACAUCCCAAAACAGCCAACGACAUUCUUCGUCAGCAUCCUGGAUGUCUAAAGGAAAGUCACGUCUAUUGGUUGCACAAGUCAUGACCAUCGACAUUACCUCCAUCGAAGAACAACUAGCUCAAAUGAAUGAAACGAUCGCAAGGCUAACACGGAUUGUUGAAGAAAAAGACUUGCAAAUCGCUGCACUCGUCAACCGACUGGAGCCACAGAACGGUGAGAACCCCGACCCAGAGGAUGAUCCACUAAAGAGAGGAGAUGGCGAAGAAGAGGAGCCUCAGGUGGAGAAAAUCAAUAUAAAGCCGGAGCCAGACCAAGCAGCGGCACUCAUGGGAUCUAUUUCUAUCCAGCAGUUGCAAAAGAUGAUCGCCAGCACCGUCAAGGCACAGUACGAAGGGAGCUCAAAUACCUCCGGGUUGUAUUCAAAGCCUUAUUCAAAGAAGAUUGAUGCCCUGAAGAUGUCGAGGGGAUAUCAACCACCAAAGUUCAUACAGUUUGAUGGAAAAGGAAACCCAAAGCAGCACGUUGCACAUUUCGUCGAAACUUGCAACAACGUGGGGACAGAGGGAGACUACCUCGCCAAGUAGUUUGUGCGCUCGCUGAAAGGAAACGCCUUUGAGUGGUACACGAACCUAGAGCCUGAGUCCAUCAACAAUUGGGAGCAAUUGGAAAGAGAAUUCCUUAACCACUUCUACAGCACCCGCCGCACUGUAAGCAUGCUGGAGCUCACAAGUACGAAGCAAUGGAAAGAUGAGCCGGUCAUUGACUACAUCAACAGAUGGCGCACUCUAAGAUAGGCUCUUGGAUACCUCUUCAAUCGAGAUGUGCGUCCAAGGUAUGCAAUGGGGUUUGCAAUACAUCCUUCAAGGCAUCAAACCACGGACAUUCGAAGAGCUAGCCACCCGCGCCCAUGACAUGGAGUUGAGCAUCGCCCAUCAUGGGAAGAAGGAACCGAUCGCCGACUACAAGAACGACAAAGUUCUUGAGACAAAGGUGGAGAAGGCUGCGUGGAAAUCCACCAAGGAAGCAAUGACGGUCAACACAGCUCCCGUCAAAAUCCCUACACGAGGUAAGGCGAUUCAAGCCGAAGCUUUUCGUGAUUAAAAGAUGCGUAGACGCACUUUGAAGGAGCUUGAGGAGAAGACUUAUCCAUUCCCCGACUCUGAUGUGGUUGCCAUGUUAGAAGACUUGCUGGAAAAGAAGGUGAUCGGUUUGCCUGAAUGCAGACAGCCAGAAGAGAUGAAUCCCACCGACAGUCCAAGGUACUGUAAAUUCCACCUCUUCAUCAGUCAUCAAACGAAAAAAUGCUUCGUACUGAAAGAUCUCAUCCUGAAGCUAGCACAACAAGGGAAAAUUGAGCUUGACCUCGAAAACACGGUUGCGGCACACACUACUACUAUCGUGUUUGGAUCACUCGAUCAUGUGCCUCUCCGAAGCACGCAUGACCAUUCCCGUCAAUGUUCAAGUCACACAGCACUUCCUACACAACCAUCAUCGGGGGCAAGCAACCAAGAUGCAUCUACCAGUAAUAAGGAAAGGUGGACAUCGGCGACCUACAAAAAAACAAGGAAGCCAAGACCACAAGCCACAAGGCCAAAAGAGGAGCCUAAACCCGUCCCUCGAACUUUAGUCUUCUACAGGCUGAAUCAUUCAAAACCUAGAAUUUCGGCACUUGAUUGCAUCAGUGGUCGAGACCGAACUUCCGUCUUCAAAAGGCUUAAGACGCCAACACCGCAAAGAUCUGUCUUUGAAAGGUUAUCAAAACCCAAGAAACAAAGCGGCACAACUAGAUCUCCCCCGCAACAGUCGGCUGCGGACAAACUUGAAGAAACUAAAAAGCCUUCUAGAAACAGGAAGACAACGCCAAAGGGAGAAAAGCUCGACAGUCUAGCAGGAAAAGACGAUGUUUAAAGCUUGAUUCCUUCAAGGAUGAAGCGCCAAGCAACUUUGGAAGUCGAUACAAAAGGACCACUUAAGGUAAGGAGGCGCACCAUCAUCUACACCGGCCAAUCUUCACGCCAACAAACCUAAGAAGACCGCACUGAAGAAGAGGCCCAAGAAGACAAAGAAGACGAAAUCCCGGAAGAAUACGUCACUUCCGGCUCCGUCAACUUAAAAUCUUCACCUCAAUCGCUUGAGGCAUGCUCUAAAACCAUGCCAGUCAAGCCAAGCGAAGUUGAAAGAUGGAUUCAUGUCACUUCGAAGAAACUGCACAAGAAGCAUAUGUCUUCUCCACAAGUGCACCAAUCAGAAAAGGGGCAAAACAGCUUUCGCCAACCUCCAGAACAAUGUGAAAGUGUUGGAGAUAAUGAAACUUUGACACAAAGAUCAUCCAUCCCCAUCACGAUGUGUGACAUCUUCCUAGAAGACUUCUUCAACUACUCAGUCAAGGCUUCUUGCUAUGAAGAUUGCGAGGAAUAACUCUCCCGGAUCGCUUGACGAACCACAAAUGCUCCUUGUUCGCACGAGCCUAAACUGUACGAACCAAAGCUCCUUGUCCGCACGAGCCUAAACUGUAGGACACGAGGCUCCUCGCCUACACGAGUCUAAACUGCAUGGCACAACGCUCCUGGUCAGCAUGAGCAUAAAAUGCGACAUCAACGCUCCUAAUCCGCAUGAGCAUAAAAGGCGAUACCAACACUCCUUGUUCGCACGAGCCUAAACUGCACAAACCAAAACUCCUGGCCCACAAAAGCAUAAACUGUGUACGGCAAAAUCAUCAUCAAAAUCACUGUUAAAUUCAUCACUCAUUUGAACUACGUUAUGACUUGAUCUCUUAUUUGGAAGAGUACAUAGGCAACUUGAAACUUCAAAAGUUCAAGUACAGUCACAUCAUCAUAAAAAACACAAACACUUUGAAGAAUAAAAAGCAAAUUCAAAAUAUGAAUACUUUAUUUCUUUAAAGGAAUGAUUUGGUUACAAAGCCGUAUUACAAAGGUGGGCAUUACGUCAACGUCACCACCGAGGAAAGUUGUGACCAAAAGGCACUACAUAGCAUAAACUCGCUGCAGUCUUUUGCACAACCCCACAAGGUAAAGGUGACACACUGGAACAAGCUCCAAGCAGCAGCGGCAAAGAGCCUAUGGCAAGCAGCAAGGUCAAUAUGCACGGCAACGUCCCCCACCGAGGAAAGUUAUGACCAAAAGGCACUACACAACAUAAACUCGCUGCAGUCUUUUGCACAACCCCACAAGGUAAAGGUGACGCACUGGAACAAGCUCCAAGCAGCAGCGGCAAAGAGCCUAUGGCAAGCAGCAAGGUCAAUGUGCACGGCAACAUCCCCCACCGAGGAAAGUUAUGACCAAAAGGCACUACACAGCAUAAACUCGCUGCAGUCUUUUGCACAACCCCACAAGGUAAAGGUGACACACUGGAACAAGCUCCAAGCAGCAGCGGCAAAGAGCCUAUGGCAAGCAGCAAGGUCAAUAUGCACGGCAACGUCCCCCACCGAGGAAAGUUGUGACCAAAAAGGCAUUACACAAUAUAAACUCGCUGCAGUCUUUUGCACAACCCCACAAGGUAAAGGUGACGCACUGGAACAAGCUCCAAGCAGCAGCGGCAAAGAGCCCAUGGCAAGCAGCAAGGUCAAUGUGCACGGCAACGUCCCCCACUGAGGAAAGUUGUGACCAAAAGGCACUACACAUCAUAAACUCGCUGCAGUCUUUUGCACAACCUCACAAGGUAAAGGUGACGCACUGGAACAAGCUCCAAGCAGCAGCGGCAAAGAGCCCAUGGCAAGCAGCGAGGUCAAUAUACACAGCAAUGUCCCCCAUCGAGGAAAGUUGUAACCAAAAUGGCACUACAUAACAUAAACUUGUUGUAGCCUUUUGCACAACCCCACUUGGCAAAGGUGACAUACUGGAACAAGCUCCAAGCAGCAUCGGAAAAGAGGGCAGCUAUAAGACGGUUUUUCAAAGCACGCUACAGUAGCAAAGAAACCAAAAUGCCACGCAAUCGCACUACGCAACCUCGCAGCAAUUACGCAAGCAGUUUCUUACACCGCACGUCGACGUCACCACCAAGGGAAAACUGUGACCAAAAGGCAUUACACAGCGAAGCCCCACUGCAGUCUCUUGCAUAGCACCACACGGUAGCGCACCACCGAGGGAAAACUGUGAUCAAAAGGCACUACACAGCGAAACCCCGUUGCAGUCUCUUGCACAAACCCUAGGCAGCAGAAAGCACAAAUAUGCCCACAUCUUGCUCACUCCAAAUACCACGUCUCUGAAAGCUUCAUGAGGGUUCCAACAUCAUGCUCUGCCUUCUCCAAAAUUAAAGAUUCCUUGCAUCACAUCAAAUAAAAAAAAUACAUAUGUUUUAUGUAUUUAAUAAAAAAAAUAAAAAAAAAGAAUACAUACGUUAUUACUUGUUUACAAAAAGAAAAAAGAAAAAAAAAGAGAUUUCUUUUACAUACAUAUACAUACAAAUAUAUAUAUACAUAUAUAUAUAUAUAUAUGUAUGUAUGUAUGUAUAUCCAUCAGCAGCAAGCCUCUCAAAAGGAGGCCAUCCAGGCCCAAGUGGCAGCCUCCAAGCCCAAUCCGUCAUCUUCCCCGCCUACACAAAGUCCAGUGAGAGAGUUGCCAGAAAAUCCCACGCAAGUUGUGGAAGCAGUGCCGGCUGUGGUGGGUAGAAAGGGGAAUUGUAGCAGCAGCAGCAGCAGCAACAGCUCAAGCAGCAAUGGCAGUACAAGCAGUGGUGUGUUUGCAAGUUUAUUCGCUUCCUCAACAACAUCGGCAAGCUUGCAACCUCCUCAACCGCCUGCAUUUACUGACUUAAUUCGAGCCAUGGGGCAUCCAGAUCAAUCAACCAACCUAGCUCCAUCUUCUUCAAUGGAGCCCAUUUCUCUUGGCCUCUCAACCAGCCAUGGAUCCUCAAUUUUCGAGUCUGCAGGACAGGAGCGUAGGCAAUAUGCGCCUCCAUCACAACCAUCUAUGUCUGCGACAGCACUGCUUCAGAAAGCUGCUCAAAUGGGCGUAGCAGCAACCAAUGCAUCGUUGCUUCGUGGGUUUAGCAUUAUGUCAUCUUCAACGUCUUCCACGCAAGAAGAGAGAGAGAAAGAGCGAGCAUGGGCGAGAUCCAGGCCAUGAGGGACCUGAGAGAAUGGCUGCUGACGCUUUGUUCAACACUUUGCCAGCUGCCUUUGUUCAACGUUUUGCUUCUUCCUUAUUGGGUUUCCUUCUGAUUUCUACAAUGGAUGCCGACGAAUCUGACGACUUGAGCAGAGAAGAAGAGGCGUCCGAUACUAAGAGCAUGGAAGAAGGCGAGAUGGCACAGCAACAAAAACCACGGCUUUCGCCGGAAAUACGUCAGAUCCCGCACGAGCUUCCCCACCGAUGAUACGACCAAUAUUGCAUACAUUUUAAUGCCCUUUAGUUUAGAUUUUUGUUAUGUUUUUGAGUGAAUUUAGUUUGUUUCAUUUAGUUUUAUGUUUUUCUUAGAUUUGAAGAGUGAAGAUGAAGAAAGAAGAAAAAAUGAGCACUUUGGCGAUUGAAGUGAGUUAUGUGCCCUGGAAGCAGAAGCUGUUUGUGCAGAUCAGCCAACUUGACGGAAUAAACUGUACUUCCUCAGAAUGAACCAGCUGUUGAGCUUUAUACCAUUGGAAAGAUAUGGAUGUUAGCUUUCAGAGGAAUUUUACGGACUGUGAUUUCGAGUUUCCUAGACGAUGUUAUGAAAGUUUUUGUACAAGACGUCGGUCAGCCAAGUCUACGCGGAAAUUGCAAAGUCUGUUGGGUUUUUCAAGUCAUAAUUCAGUCGAAGCCCAAAGCCCAAGAUAGAAAACGUUGGAGAUGAUUUUAGUCCUAUUUCAAAUGGGUCUGGAGUAAUUUACUUGGGAAACUUACCUGCCACAUCAUCAAUUAUCCAAUACAAAUGAGGAAAAGAUUGAAAAAGACCUAAGGAUGCUAGGAUUUUGACGAAUCGAUAAGGGAGAGAUUGUAGGAAGCAAAGAGGGGUUCUUUUGGGGGGGAUUCUCUGCGUGUUUUUGGAAGAGCAGCAGCCGCCUUUCAUCGAUCCUAAGUUCUUCAUGUUUUUAAGAUUGUUAAUUAUGUUUUCAUAUUCUAUGAGUAACUAAACUCUUUUUCUAGGGUUAGGAUGAUGCCCUAGCAUGGAUGUUUAUGGUUUUUAAUGUUAUUCAUUGGGUUUCUAGAUUCUUUUAGAUGAAUGUUUAAUCACUGUUUGAAUUGUUACUCUUUGUAUGGGUUCUUUGAUUGAUCACCUUAGGGCUUUGCAUCUAGUAAGAUUGGAAGAUGAAUUUGAGGCUGAACUAGCAAUAUAAUUCAAUUAGCUUCUUGUGGUUAAGUGUGGUAAAUUACAUUGUUGCUUGACAAAGAAUAAUGGUUUGCUUGGUUCCCUUGUUUUCUAGAGCGUACAGAGUCCUAUUUGUUAAAUUUAUGCCUUAACCAGGAUAGAUUGCAUGUUAGGAUAUACGACCUCUGCUUGAACUAGGAGAGAAUCAUUCACUUAAGGAAAACUAUGAUCUAAUGUGCCUGACAAGGACGUAGAUACGGGAAUUAUCAUCUAAAGAAUCGAAAGAUCCGUUGAAUGCAUUGAAACCUAAAUUAGAUUGCUUGUGGUUGAUUCCGAAUCCCUAGACUUUUCAUCACUUGCCUUAAAACACAACAUUUUCUUCUCUUUAAUUUCAGUUUUUACUUAAGGUUCUGUUUUUGUUCGUUUAUAAAAUCAUCACAACAAAUUCUUCACAUCCUUGAUUGAUUUUAUUAAUUAAGAUCGAGUCUAGUCCGUUGUUUGAAUUUAUAGUUUUGUGUUUGUGUGUUAUUAAUAUUAUUAGAUUUGGUUUAGUUUAUCGAAUUGGAGAUUGAAUUAGAAUCCUCGUGGGAACGAUACUUGGACUUGCAAAACGCUAUAUUACGACUACUUUGUGCACUUGCAAGUUUACACCAACCGACCCCCAGGCGUUGGGCCAUAUUAGACUUGACGGAUUCGAGCAAAUAGGCGUUGGGCCAUAUUAGACACAGAACCUGCACACUGCACACUAAGAGCCAGAGAAUCCUUAACAGCCAACUCAUCAGACCGUUUGGAAAGUAGUUUGUUAUCUUUGAGAGUGACAAGGUUCCGGGCCACCACCGCAGCGGUCAUAUCAUUCUUCAUCAUCGAAUCCCCAACGGUAAGAGGACCAGUAGGGGAUAUGAAGGAUGGGCGCCAUAUGUUGUCUGGAGAAGGCGGGACUGCCUCUUCACCAAGGUUCAAAUAAAAAACAACGGUCGGAGGGUCCAGACAUUUUCAAAGGUGUUGAAGAAAGAAGAGGUCAGACAAAUCAAGAUCUUAGAAGUGCAAGAAGGGAGUUUCUACAAGCGAAAAUUCAAGUGUGCUUUGAAACGAACUGCAUGCCUCUAUAAAAAUCAGUACUCGACGGGAUUUCAGAGAUAGAAGAGGCGAGCUCAGAAUUCAAAGAGGCCAAUUCAAAAAUCGAAGAGGCAAGCUCAGAAAUCAGAGAAGCAUCUUGCUUUUCCAGACGCGUCAGCACCCGUCACACACAAACUCAGCUUUGCGGAAAUCACGGGCAAUUUGUCGAAACGCCGAUCCCAGAUAUCGAAGAGACGCCAGUCUUUUUCAGCCUCGUCAACACCUGUCACAUGCACACUCAGCUAGGCGGAAAUUACGGACAAUUUGUCGAAGAUUUCUGAUAAAAAAGAAAGCACGUGAAGCCAUACUGAUCAAUCACGCAUUGGUUGCCGACACGAGUGAAAGAAUAGUACCUCUACAGGUACUAAAGAAUUUCCUAUAACUAUCCACCUUCACCCUCCAUAGCAAGGUAGACAUACAUAACCUUUCUUCAUCUCGGAGAACCUUUCUUCAUCUCCGAGAACCUUUCUUCAUCUCCAAGAAUGCCUUCCCAACGAAGCCUCUCGAGUCACUCAGUGUUUCUUAUUCCUUGGGGUACCUCUGCAAACAAAUGACCUAAAGCAAAAGUAUCUUAUAUCACCAGGGUAGAAAGCAAGAGUAUCUCAUAUCAUGCUUUCUCCCCGUCCUUUCCUUUGUCCUUGUUCUUACCUGCAAAGACAAGGAUAAAGAAAACAAUAUGUCGGAACCUCCACUCAAACUCAGGUAAGGAAUCGACUACCUGGAACCUUUGCCUGGUUGCUUACAUGGUAUUACUCUCGAGUACUCGUCUUUCACUGCUGCUGUACUUCCAAAGAAGCUGCCACAUCUGCCUGGAGAACAGAUAAGGCAAGUGAAAAUGAUACCUUGCAGCAUGUGGAGACAACGUGCAGAAGAAACAAGCAGAGAAGAAUGCGGUCUGCACAGUCAACUCAGCAGAAGGAGUCCGAGUUGAGGAACUCAAGAAGCUACCACAUCUGCUUGAAGAAACAAGCAGAGAAGAAUGCAGCCUGCACAGUCAACUCAGCAGAAUGAGUCUGAACUGAGGAACUCGAGAAGAUGCCACAUUCUGCCAGAAGAAUAAAUAAGGCAAGGGAAAAUGAUACAUUGAAGCAUGUGGAGACAAGCGAAAAACAAAGCACGUGCCGAUUCAUCCGCUACUUCUUAAAAAAUCAAAAGUAUCUCAUAUCAUCAGGGUUGCAAUCACUAUGGGUGGAGGACUCGUUUUGACCCUCAAAUUCUUGGGUCGACUUACUAGGCGUUGUGGGCUGCACGUGCCGAUUCACCACCCUUGAAUCAAAUCCUUAAAAAUCAAGUCACCAACUGGAAGAAGAGCCCAUCAAUCUUGAAGAUCAUACCGUUGACCAAACUGCUCAGGUGUGAAUUAGAAAGAUUGAACAAAGCAACAAGUCAUCACCUUCCCCUCAUGCCUGCUUGCCAUGUGUUUGAGUCAACCUUCAAGAAUCAAGCUUCAACGGCCCUUGAAGAAGCUUCCAGCCAAAUUCAAAAUCAAGCCUCGAUGGCCUUGGAAGAAAUCACAAGUUCGAUUCAAGAUCAAGUGUCCACCACCCUUGAAUCAAAUCCAGUUCAAGAAUAAGCUGUGGAAAGUCAACAAGCGCAAAAAACAAAUACGUACCAAUUCAUUCACUACCAAAGCCAAAGAUCAUCUACCACAUGAAGCUCCUUGUGGUCCAAUUUCAACCUUCAAGAUCAAGCCUCGACGGCUCUUGAAGAAAUCUCAAGCCCAAUUCAAGAUCAAGCCUCAACGGCCCUUGAAGAAAUCUCCAACCCAAUUCAAGAUCAAGCCUUGAUGGCCCUUGGAUCGACAUCUACAGUAAGGGACUUCAAAACGCAUCUCCUACAUGUGACAAGCACAUGUAUACGACACGCCUUGAAGUGGGGGCAUUUGUAGACAUCGAAAUUUCAGUAAAUAAAUGUUGACCGAUAAAUCAAAGUUUCGACGCUCAUGUAUUACAUAAAUUUUACACGUAGCGUAUGUCUAAACAAAAAAUCGAAAUAAGUUGGAAAAGUCAUCAAAUAGGACACGUGUCAACACCUGGCAGAAAUGACUUAUUUCAUCUGGAAUAUUAUAUUCAAAAUUAGGCCUCGGAAAAUUCUAUAAAUAGAAGCCAAUUUCAUUCAUUUGGAGGGACCAAUUUUCAUAUUACACCUUGAAGCUCUGAAGCUCUGAAACUCCGAAGCUCUCAAGCGUCCAAGUUCCCGAAGAAUCAAGAAAGCCUUCUUCGUUCUUCGUUCAUCGUUCUUCAAGAUCAAGCCCCAACGGCCCUUGAAGAAAGCGUUCUUCGUUCAUCGUUCUUCCAAGAUUAAGCCCCGACGGCCAUUGGAUCAACAAUCAUCCACCUUCAAGAUCAAGCCCCGACGGCCCUUGAAGAAAGCGUUCUUCGUUCAUUGUUCUUCCAAGAUCAAACCCCGAUGGCCCUUGGAUCAACAAUCAUCCAUCUUCAAGAUCAAGCCCAAAAGCCCUUGAAGAUCUGUUCAUCACUGUUCUUCAAGAUCAAGCCCAAAAGCCCUUGAAGAUCCGUUCAUCACCGUUAUUCAAGAUCAAGCCUCAACAGCCCUUGAAGAAACGCUCAUCCUCAAGAUCAAGCCCCAACGGCUCCUUGAAGAUCCGCUCAAAUCCACUUUCAAGAUCAAGCCCACGGCCCUUGAAGAACGUUCAUCCUUAGAUCAAGCCCAACGACCCUUUGGAUCAAUCGCACAUCCACAAACACACACCUUACGAAGAUCGAAUUAGAGGAUCAAAUUAGAGAUUGUAACCCUAAAAAAUCAUCAAAUACAAAAUAUUAUUUUGUGCACGUUGUUCUUGUCUCUUUUGUUUCAGGAAAAUUUCGUGUUUACAUAAUGAUCUGCAUUGGGUUCUAUUGAGUGAUCCCUCCUCAUUGAAUCAAAAACCAUGAUGCCUUCACCAACCAGCCGAGAAUGGCUACAACCGCUCAAAACACCAGUGAAAGUAACAGAAUUAGGCUUCACCCCAGAGUCUAACAUUUUUCUGAAUGGUAACAAGGCUUCUUCUCCAUUCCCAUACAUCGAGUUUGCAAUGAUCAUCGUAUUCCAUGCAACUGUAUCCCUUCUUGGCAUCAUAUCAAAGACCCUCUGAGAAAGUUCCAACUCACCACAUUUCGCGUGCAUGAAAACCAAAGCUGUUGUGGUAGCCAAGUCCUCCAUUAAACAAUUCCUAAAGAUGUAACUGUGCACCUCUUUGCCUGCCCUCAAGCUUACCAAAUCUUCGCAAGCUGGUAACAAACUAGUAAUUGUGAUCUGAUUGGGCUUAAUUCCUGAUUCUUGCAUUUGUCCGAGCAUUUUCAGCGCCUGUUCCGUCUGCCCAUUAUUCAAGUACCCACCAAUAACAGCAUUCCAUGAAGCACCAUCCAACUAAACAACUUACCUUCUCAUCCUAUAAAAUAAAGUUACACCCCUUUCGCAAUCUCUGUUCGAAAAAUACACAGUUAGAAGUACAUUCCAGGACACGACAUCUCGUUUAGACAUCAUAUCAAAUACCAACUGAGCUUGUUUAAUGCUCAGACAACUAGCAUAGAUAUUUAUGUGUCUGUAUUAUUUAUUUGGUCAUAAGUAAAAGUUUGUAUUCGUUAUUUAUGACAACUAAUAAAGCUAAUAAACAUAUAUUAUAUAUGUUUGACAUUUACUUGUGACGCGUAAGAGUUUGACAUGUGUACACAUAUAUUAUUUAUUUAUUUUCUGAAAUACAGACACAUUUUUUUCAUUCAAUUACAAACACAUUUAAUGAAUAAACUUGGUACAAAAAGUUGGUUCCCUUCACCCAAUGAUUUGAUUUUUUCGCUAAUACUUGCCAUCAUAUUUGAGGUAGGUUUUAUUAGCUAAUGCUUGAAUUCCAUAUAAGAUUUGACAUGCUUGAUGGGUAUUUUGUUUCUUUUGAAGAUGAAAGUUUUGCUUCUGUUUGUCUAUUUUAAAAUUCAACAACUAAAAAUUUAACGGUCAUGCGAUAUUAUGAGCCAAUUCAUUCUAUAAUUUCCGCUAACUGAUAACAAGUGAAUUAUUGUUUCAUGACAGCUGGGAGAGAGGCAUUUGUCAUAUGAAUUUCUUUGGCUAUCCACCAUUGGACAAGUGAUCACUGUUAUUAUCAGCUGUCAACUUUGUUGGGUCUGAAUUGUCAAUAGAGCAUAACUUUCUCUCCAAACCAAAGUUGGGUCAAUUAAGAAACCCAAGUACUUUAAUUUAUUUGAUUUUUCUUUGGGCAAACCGUCCAUCUUCUCUGCAUAAUUUUUGUAUUAAUUUCUUUGGACAAAGUGUACAAUCUCAGAACAACCAUGCAAUCAUGCAAAGCCUUGCGAAGCUUUUUUAUGUGCUUGCUCUUCUUAUUCUCCCUUCUAAGAAUCGCAGCUGCAACUGCACUGGGCACAAUCACUCCGAGUCGAUAUAUAAGAGAUGGCGAAACUCUGGUUUCAGUAGGUAGAAGCUAUGAACUGGGAUUCUUCAGCCCUGGUAAAUCGAAAAGCCGGUACUUGGGAAUAUAUGGUACACUGUUUCUACUGAUGCAGUUGUGUGGGUAGCCAACAGAGAAACACCACUUGGUGAUUCUUUGGGACUUCUGAAGCUCACCGAGCAAGGAGUUCUGGUCCUUCUCAAUAGCUCAAACAGCAUUGUGUGGUCAUCGAAUUCUUCAAGAAUCGCAGGGAAUCCGGUGUCGCAACUCUUGGAUUCUGGAAAUCUUGUGGUGCAAGAUGGGAACGAAACUAACCCGAAUAACUUCUUGUGGCAGAGUUUUGAUUAUCCUUGUGACACAUUCCUACCGGAAAUGAAGAUUUGUGGGGACUUGGUUACCGGUUUAGAUAGGUAUCUCUCGUCAUGGAAGAGCACAGAAGAUCCUACUCAAGGAGAAUUUUUGGCACGAAUGGAUUAUCAUGGCUUACCACAAGUUCUUCUUAUGAAAGGAGCUAAGAUACAGGAGAGAACAGGGUCAAGGAAUGGCCUUUAUUUGACAGGACAAGGAUAUGGUGUCAGAGAACCAAAUCCAGUAUCUGGGACUAAUUUGUGUUGAACAAGGACAAGGUCUAUUUUGAGUACAGCCUCCGAAACAUGUCAGUGUUCUCGAGAAUUGUAUUGAACCCCUUCGGGGUCUCCGAGCAGUUCACAUGGGUGUACCAAAAACACAGUUGGGAACUUCCCGCUACACUCCUAGCAGAUCGGUGUGAAACCUAUGCCUUUUGUGGUCCAUUUUCUAGUUGCAGUAUCAAUAAUAACUCUCCGAUAUGUGCAUGCUUGAAGGGAUUUGUACCAAAAUCUUCAAAAGAUUGGAAUUUGGGAUAUUGGUCUGAUGGAUGUGUUCGAAGGACUCCGUUGGCCUGCAGCGAUGGAGAUGGCUUCAUAAAGUACAGUGGGAUGAAAUUGCCAGACACAUCAACCUCGUGGUUUGAUAAAAGCACGAGCCUUAAGGAAUGCAAGGGAUUAUGUUUGGGAAACUGCUCAUGUACUGCGUGUGCAAAUCUGGACAUCAGGGAGGGAAGAAGUGGCUGCGCGCUUUGGUUUGAUAACCUCACUGACAUAAGAGAAUUCACUCCCGGCGGUGGUCAAGACCUCUAUAUACGGGUGGCAGCUUCAGAACGAGGUACAUCUUCGACCUUUCUCUGCAGUAUGCAAAGUAGGGUUUAAAUAAGUGAAGUGUUAAAAUCACAGUUACUGCAACACUACGAGAUCACACGAAAAGUUUGUUUUAAUACAGAUAUUUCAGAUCACGCUAAGAAAAAGAGCAAUUUCAACAAGAGACAGCUACUAGCAAUUCUACUCAGCUCUGCAGUUUUUCUCAUGGGAUUGCUAGUUGGAAUGAUUUUGUGUAUACGGAAGAAGAAACUCAGAAAUGAAGGUAACUAUUUUUGGACACAUUAAAAAUGCAUUAGAUAAGGUAGUUAGUAUUUAACUAGUGAUGGUGCCCGCACGAUGCUGCGGGUUUUUAAACCAUAUAAAACAUAUCAAAAGUUCCAUGUAUAUAUACGAUAUGCAAUAUUUAUGCAUGUGAUUCAUGUCUUCUUAACCAUUAACAGAACAAAUUGAAAAUAUGAAAGUCAAAAACUACACUUAAGUAUAAAUAUACAUGCGGUCUGCAAACUCGUUUCUAAGUUCUACAACUGCCACUUAUUCCAAAACAACUACUUACUCGUCAUCUCCCUUCAUAAUCCCGUUCGUUGUCUUUUUAGAUUUUGGCAGCUAAACAUGCUCAUUUUAAUAUUCUCUGCAUCCACAUCAUGAGGAACUUUUUGUACCUGAAGUUGCUGUUGGUAUUCACAAGAGUUUUACUAACUCAAUACCAAAAUAUGUGGGUGAUAAGUUUACAAACUCUAUCACACCUCUCACUUUGCACUCUCAAUAAAAUUGGACAAACGAAAAGGAAAGAAGUAACAAGCUUGGUGAUAACAAACACUAUGAAAUAUUAGAAGAGUUUACAACUCUUAAAGCUUACAAGCUGAAAAUGAGAAUGGGAAUUGGAUUGAUGUUCUAAAACCUAGCAAGAAAGCCUAUUUAUACAAAACAGAAAUUGAUAAACAAUACAACAACAUGCAAUGAAUGAUGGUGUUUACCAUCUUUACACCCUUUCAAACACAGGCAGCAACUUUAGAUAGUUGGCACACACAUGCAUUGCAUUAUUCCAGGUUGGAAUCACAACCUUUCGGCUAGCACACAGCAGCUCACAUUAGGGCUGGGUUCGGUUUGAAACGAUUCGGUUUUUUGCUAAAACCGAAACCGAACCGAAAUUUUGGUUCGGUCCGAUUUUUUUUCGGUUCGAUUUUUUUCGGUUUUGAUUUUUUUCGGUUCGGUUUCGGUUUUUUUUCGGUUUUUUCAUGAUUUUUUUUUAAUAUCUGGAGCUUGAAGCACAUUUUUUUUCCUCAUUCGGCUGCAAAUUUACCCUUUCUCUCCACACUCCGCAGAUCCGGAGCCCUCUCAAGCAUAGAUGAAGGUGGUCGCUGCAUCGUUGUUGGCUGUAUUGGGCAGCAAGACCACCACAGCUGGCGGAGGUGGUGCUGUUGCAGUUGCUGCAACUGGUUGUGGUGGUGGUGCUGCCGCUGAGGCAAAGAAAGAGGAUAAGCAAAUAAUGAUAUCAGGGGAGAAAAAAAGAAAGGGAAAGAAAUGGGUGAGACUCUCACAACACAAAAAUCAAACAAAUCUACAAUACAAAACAAAACAACAACCCAUAAAUUUACACCAAAAUUUCAGAUUCCCUCCAUGGAAUUUACUCUAAAAAAACCCAUAAAUCGACAAAAUAAAUAAGAGAGAUUGAAGAUCUUACCCUGGAGUGAGAAGAUCGAGAAACGGAGAGAGAAGAAUGGAGAAGAAUGGAGAAAUUGGAGGCAUGGACAAGGAGGGAGUCUGGAGGCGCAGGGACGAGAGAGAGAGAAGAGGGGAAUGAAAAAAGAAAAGGUAUGGCUGCUACUACUAGUGGCUAGGGUUUUGUUGAUUUCUAAUUGCACAAAUGGCUAUAGAUUUAUAUCUUUAUAAAUAGUUUAGUUAUACAACUAUAACAAAACAAAACCAGUUGCCAUGUUGGUUUUGUUGAAACCUUUCAACUGGAGCGCACGGGUUCAAACCCACAUGCCUCCAGGACUUUAGAGAUUUUUUAAUUUUUAUAAUUAAAAUAUUAUAAAAAAAUAAUUAAAUAUAUAUUCGGUUCGGUUUGGUUUUUUUCGGUCUCGGUUCGGUUUGGUUCUCGAUUUUUUUAGGUUUUCAGUUUUUUGAACCCACCCCUAGCUCACAUCUCUACUGUCUUUCAACACACUUUCAGCUAGCACAUGGAUGAAACUUUAGUCUUUGUAGUUGCAGCAAGUGUGAAUACAACCUGUAAAGAAACUAAUGAUAAGCUCAUAUUUAUAUAUAUUUUACAUAAAAUUCACUUGUCUUUUCUUAGUUAGUUCCUUAUAUUUUUGAGCUAUUUACUAUGUUUUUGUGUUUUGUGUGAUUUAUCAAGCAAAGAAAAGAAAAGUAGCACAAGUGAAUUAUUAAGUAACAAAUUCGUCAAAACUGCCUGUGCAGAUUAUCUGACUUUGGAAGCAUAUUACAAACAGCUCAGAAUGAAUGAGAGAAUGAGCCUUAUAUGCGUGGAAAGCUACAGAUGUCUAUUUUCUGGAGCAAUUUAUGGAUUGUUAAUCUCAUUUUUCUAGAAGAAGUUAUGGGCAUUGUAACACUGAAAGGUCAGAAAAGGGCUAAGCAGAUUUGGCUAAUAAAAAGAGAAAGGCAACUCAUGGGCAAAGGAAACACACACACAUGGGCAGAAAAUGGGUGGAUUGUUGGCUGAAAUAAUGAAGAACAUGUGUCUGCAAAUGCAAAGGAAAAAAACACACACAUAGGCAAAGGAAACACACACACAUGGGUAGGAAUUGUGUGUGUUUUGUGGUUGAAAUGAUGAAGCAUGUGUGUGUAAAUGUAAAGGAAAACAUGGCAGAAAAUGUGUGUGUUUGGUGGUUGAAAUGAUGAAGCAUGUGUGUGUAAAUGUAAAGGGGAAACAUGACAACACACACCCACACAAGCUGCACAUGCAAAGGAAAUGGAGUGGUCAUCUCUCAAGCCUAUAAAUACCACCUCCCAUAUUCAUCAACAAAACAGAUUUUCUCCUUGCUUUGGCCGAAACUUCCCACCACCAUUCUCUCUAAUUUCAGCCAAAAACCACCCCUAGCCACACCACCCAUCAAUCCUAAACCUUUCCAUACCAUUCCCCAUCCAUUCUACACCAUAAAAACCACCCAAAACCGUCCAAAACCUCUAGUGCCGCUGCUUGCAAGGAAGGAAAGAGAAGGAACAUCUUGUGCCGUGCCUAUGCCCAAGCCUUGGGAGUGUUGGAGCGUUUCUAGGUGUUUUCUAUCUUUGUUUUUAAUGUCUAAAUUUAUGCAUCUUUGCUUUGUAAGUAUGAGGAACUAAACCCCUCUUAGUUAGGGGGUGAUUCGAAACUAUGUUCAUGCUUGCAAUAUGAUUUGAUUACAUCCAGUUGUGAUUCAUAAGUUGUGAAUUCAAUUUACUUAUCCGUUCGUAUAAAAACUGAUUUGUGUAUGUUGGUUGAGAGUGUACGCUUAAUUUUCAUGCAUGAAUUUGACGCUAGAAUAUAAGGGAGUUUCACCUAAUCGUUAUGAACUUAUAUUCACAAGUAGUGAAGGUUGCUAGUCACAAUCACGUUAAGUAAAUUCUUGGCAUAAGUUUCAUGCAAAUCAUAUAAGUAACGAGUGCCUCGUCAAUGCUUAUGUUUUUCAUAGAACUUAAUGAUUCUUGCUUGUGUAUCUCUAUUAUGCAAUUCAUGUAGGGAACUUGUAGGGAAUGUUUUGGGUUGUCGUAUGCAAUCAUCCAACCUAAUAACUUGUGGAAAAACUGAGGGUUAAUUAGUGCAAUUCACGGUUAAUUUGGGGCGUUGAGUAUUCAUAGUUUAUCGAAAAGCAAUUGGAAAUCAUUUUGUAUGCAAGUGUGACAUGUGUGGAGAAGAACCUCUGAGCUAGCUUCUCAUCCAUUCAAUUUGAUCAAUCUCGUUUUAAAACCUAUUUUGUUUUACAAAGUUCUUGUUUUGUUUUCAAAUUCGUCUAAAAUCAAUCCCCCUUUAUUUUGUUGAGUCAUAUUAGUUAGAAAUCAAUUUAGUUUGUGUUUUUAAGUGUCUUGAGUCAAGUUAUAACAUAUUUUCGUUCAAAUUCUUCCUUAGUGUUCAAAACUGCCCAGAUUGUGUUUUUAAGGCAGUUUUGAGUGUUUAGGUGCUGUUUUGAGUCUUUGGGUUUCAUCUCUCACCUCUUGCCGUGCCCAUCCUUCACCCAAAUCCAUAUUUUCUGACCCCUAAACCCCCCUAGCCGUGCCAUACACCCAUCCUAGACACUUUUCCACCAUUCUACCUCAUCCAAAACCAUCCCAAACCAUCUCCAUACCUUGUGUCGCAGCAAGAAGGAAGAAGGAGUGCCCUUGAUUGUGCUUGCUAGUCUAUUGCAGAUUGCUGGAACUUUUAGGUGUAAUCUUUCUUAUGUUUUCAAUGUUUCAAUUCAAUAAACCUUGUGUUGUGAGUAUGAGGAACUAAACCCCCUUAGUUGGGGGGGGGUGAUUCGAGACCAUGUACAUGCUUGCAAUAUGAUUUGAUUACAUUCAGUUGUUAUUUCAUAAAUUGUGGAUUCAAUUCGUUCAUCUACUUGAUUGAUAACUUAUUUGUGUAUGUUGAUUGAGAGUGCACGCUUAGUUUUCAUGCAUGAAUAUGAUGCUAGAUUAUGAGGGAGUUUCACCUAAUAGUUACAAUCUUAUAAUCACAAGUAGUGAAGGUCGCUUGAAAACGAUCGCGUUGAAUGAAUUCUUGGCACGAGUUUCAUGCUCAUCAUAGUAACGAAUGCCUCGUCAACACUUAUAGUUCUCAUUGUGCUUAAUGAUUCUUGAUUGUAUCUUUAUUGUGCUCAUCACGUAAGGAACCUUUGAGGAAUGCUUUGAAUUGUUGUAUGCGCUUUCCCAUCCAAUUCAUUAACUUAAGGAGAACUUGAAGGUUAAUUUAAGCGUAUCUAAUUAACUUGGGGUGUUGAGUUUCAUAAUUUAUUGGAAGAACAACUAAAAAUCGUUUUGUUUGCAAGUGUGUCAUGUGUGGAGAAGAACCUCCUAACUAGCCUUUUAUCCAUCCUUUUCAUCCGAAACGUUUUUACAAUCUGUUUGUUUUUAAAGUUUCUGUUUUGUUUUCAAUUUUCGUCCAAAACAAAUCCCCCUUUAUUUUGAAGUCUUAGAUUAGUUAGAAAGUGUUUUGAUUUGUGUUUUUAAGUGUUUUGAGUCAAGUUAUAACAUAUAUUCGUCCAAAUUUGUGUUAGUACUCAAAACUGCCCAGAUUGUGCUUCUAAGGCAGUUUUGAGUGUUUAUUUGCUGUUUUGGUUCCUUUGCUUUGUUUUGGUGUUUUAACUUUUAAUUUUACAUUCUUUGAGUCUAGUUUAGUGUUUUAAACUUUGUUUUUACAUUAUUGAGUAGUUUUCAAGAGUUUAGCAAUCCCUCCUAAUCCCCGGUUUAGAACGAUCCCUACUUACAUCUUUACUACAAUUUGACAAAAGAGGGUUUAAUUUGUGUGUUUAGUUAUUUUAUGCAUCAAUUUGAUCAAUCUCGUUUUAAAACCUAUUUUGUUUUACAAAGUUCUUGUUUUGUUUUCAAAUUCGUCUAAAAUCAAUCCCCCUUUAGUUUGUGUUUUUAAGUGUCUUGAGUCAAGUUAUAACAUAUUUUCGUUCAAAUUCUUCCUUAGUGUUCAAAACUGCCCAGAUUGUGUUUUUAAGGCAGUUUUGAGUGUUUAGGUGCUGUUUUGAGUCUUUUGGUUUGUUUUAGUGUUUUAAAGUAUAGUUUUGCAUUCUUUGAGUCUAGUUUAGUGUUUUAAACUUUGUUUUUACGUUUUCAAGUCAGUUUCCAAGUGAUUUAGCAAUCCCUCCUAAUCCCCGGCCUAGAACGAUCCCUACUUACAUUCUUUACUACAAUUGACAAAAAGAGGGUUUAAUUUGUGUGCUUAUAUAUUUCGCACCAACUAACAGCUAACAGCUGCCAUUUACAACCUGUUUUGAUUUGAAUUUCCAACACACCUCCUCAAAUCAAAACGCCUUCAUGCCUAGCAUUUCACGUAGCAACUUGAAUGGCUCAACUGGCAGGGGCUUUGUGAAGAUGUCAGCCACUUGUUCCUUGGUGUGACAAUAGAUAAGUUCGAUUGUCUUUUGCUUCACAUGGUCCCUCAGAAAAUGGAACCCGGUAUCAAUAUGCUUGCUCCUUCCAUGUUGGACUGGAUUCCUAGCAAGCUUGAUAGCUGAGAUGUUAUCCACAUGAAUCACAGUCGAUUCCACUUGUGGAUGACAUAUUGACUUCAACAGAUUUCUUAACCAAAUUGCCUCACACACAGUUGAGGCUACAGCAACGUAUUCGACUUCACACGAUGACAAAGCAACAAUGGAUUGCUUCUUUGAAGUCCAUGAGAAAGCUGUUGAUCCUAGAAAAACACAUAGCCAGUUAUGCUUUUCCUUUCAUCUUUGUCACCUCCCCAAUCACUAUCUGAAUAACCAAAUAAUUUUGCAUCUUCACCAAAAUUAUAAAAUAGACCAUAGUUUAGAGUACCUCUUAUGUACCUCAAAAUUCUCUUGGCGGCCAGCCAAUGAGACUCCCUUGGUGUUUCCAUGUAUCGACUCACGAGUCCAACAUCAUAAACUAUAUCAAGUCUUGUGAUUGUAAGGUACCUUAGGCUUCUAACCAAGCUUUUGUACACGGUUGAGUUUACAAACUCACCUUCUCCUUCCUUGGACAGCUUCAAUCCAGUUGCAACUGGAGUGUUGACAAUAUUGCACUUGUCCAUAUUGAAUUUCUCCAAUAUAUCUCUCAUGUACUUUUGUUGAGAGAUGUAGAUACCGUCACUUUCUUGCUUCACCUCUAUGCCAAGAAAGUAUGACAUUAAUCCAUUGUCAGUCAUCUCGAAUUCACUGAACAUGGAUUGCUUGAACUCACAGAACAUUGCUUCAUUGUUUCCUGUAAACAACAAGUCAUCUACAUAGAGACAAAUAAUUAAGAACUCCCAUUUUUCACCGUUCUUCAUGUAAACUGAAUGCUCGUAUGGACAUUUCUGAAAUCCAUUUUGGUGAAGGUAGUUAUCAAUCCUUGAGUUUCGAGCUCGUGGUGCUUGCUUGAGGCCAUACAAAGCCUUCUUCAAACGAUACACCUUAUCUUCUUCUCCUUGUACUUGGAAGCCUUCCGGUUGUUCCACGUACACUUCUUCCUCAAGAACUUCAUUAAGGAAGGCUGACUUGACAUCUAAUUGAUAAAUUUUCCAUUUAUGCUAAACGGCAAGAGAGAUUAGUAAUCUUACCGUGUCAAGUCUUGCAACUGGAGCAUAGACUUCAUCAUAGUCUACUCCAUACUUCUGUUUGUAGCCCUUUGCUACAAGCCUUGAUUUGUACCGAUCCACACUCCCAUCUGCAGUGCGUUUGAUCUUGUACACCCACUUGACACCAAUAUCCUUUUGAUUUGGUGAGAGCUUUGUCAACUCCCAAGUGUCAUUUUUCUCGAUGGCAUGGAUCUCUUCUUCCAUGGCUUUCUUCCAACAAUCUUCUUCCACAGCUUCAUUGAAUGAGAGAGGCUCAUGGUUUGCAUACAAGCAGAAAAAGUUGGUUUUUUUUUUCUUCUUGUCCAUAUAUCUCGGUGAGACUUCUUAGCCUCACUAGAGUUGAGGAGCUGCUUUCUUCACUUGAUGUAGGACCACUCAUUGCAGUUCUGUGCAAUGGAGUUGUUGUGUUUGUUUGAGCAGGCUGUUGCUCAACAGGUGGUACAACUUCUGGUUCUUCAAAAUCAGUGGAGACGAUCUUCUCUUUACUGACUUCUUUGUUGUUCCACUUCCAUGCCUCUUCCUCACUGAAGAUGACAUCUCUACUAACCACUAGUUUGCCAGUUAGUGGGUUGUAGAGCUUGUAUGCCCACAAACACACACUUCUCACUUCAAUCAUCGAGUUUCCUUCUCUUGGCUUCUGGAACUUGAGCAUAUGCAACACACCCAAAAACUCUUAGGUGUGCAACAUUCGGCUUGUAUCCACUCCAAGUCUCUUGUGGUGUCAUCCUCUUAACACUCUUUGUUGGACAUCGAUUCAACAAAUAAAUCGAACAAGCUACAGCUUCUGCCCACAAUUCUUUUGGCAAAGUCUUUUCUUUAAGCAUGGACCUUGUCAUGUCAAGGAUGGUUCAAUUCUUUCUUUCGGCUAUCCCAUUUUGCUGUGGGGUAUAGGCAGCAGUUAGUUGAUGCCUAAUUCCUUGCUUAUUGCAGUAUGCUUGGAAAACAUUGGAGGUGUACUCUCCACCUCUAUCUGAUCUCACAGCCACACAUUUGUGGUUGCUUUCAGCCUUUGUGAGUGCCUUGAACUCCUUGAAGAUUCUUAGGGCAGCCGACUUCUCCUUGAGAAAAUAAACCCAAGUCUUCCUACUAAAAUCAUCAAUGAAAGUAAUAAAAUACCUAUUACCUCUAUAAGACAUGGGAUCCAAUGGACCACAUAUAUCUGUAUGCACCAACUGCAGUGGUGCCUUUGCUCUCCAUGUAUCACCAAUAAGGAACGAUAGUCGUGCUUGCUUGCCAAGCACACAACCUUCACAUACUUGGCGUGUGGCUUCAAUCUGGGGUAGACCACGAACCAUUCCUCCACUUGACAACAACUUUAGGCCAUUGAAAUGAAGAUGGCCAAAUCAAAGAUGCCAUUUCCAUGACUCAUCUUCCAUUACACCGAUGUUGCAACUCCCAAUCUUUGUGUUCAACUUCAACGGGAACAUUCGGUUCUUUGACAUUUGAACACGUGCAAUAAGUUUUCUCCUUGCAUUUCUGAGAGUGAGAAACAUAUCCUCCAUAUGUAUAAUAUACCCUUUCUGGAGCAGUUGACCAAUGCUCAAAAUGUUGUUCUUCAUACCUGGUAUGUAGUAGGUAUCAGAGAUGUAUUCUUCUCUACCAUCAUUCUGGAUGAUCUUGAUCUUCCCUUUGCCUUCAACUGGCAACUUUGAGGAGUCACCAAGACUCACAGAUCCAUAAUGCCCAUCUUUGAGUUCGGCAAAAAACUCUUUCUUUCCACACAUGUGGUUGCUUGCAUCAGAGUCCAAAUACCAAACAUCUUGUUGGCUACUGAUACCAUGGUGUUCUAGUAAGACUGUAAAUUCCUCACCAGCAUUUCCACUUGAUUCUGCAAUGUUGACAUGCUCACCAUUUUUAUAUGAACAUUCAUUGGCAUAAUGUCUAUAUUGCUUGCAACUGUGACACUGGAUAUGCGCUUUUCCUCGAGUAGAUCUCCAUUCUUGAGAUUGACCUCGGUUUUGUGCAUAGCCUUAACCUCUUCCUUGGGCUCAUCCUUGGCUACGGUUAGAUGAACUCCCACGACGUGAGUUCCACUGCCCACGACCUCCAUUUGGUUUGUCAAUAUUCAACUUUGACUCCAAAGCUUGCUCUAGCGUUGUGGGGCUUGCAUUCUUCUGAAUGAGUUGCUCGUGAACUAGGAGGGAUCCUAGUAGCUCCUCUACGCUCAUCGCCUCCAAAUCCUUGGAUUCAUCAAUGGCAGUCACCAUAUGCUCAAACUUAGAUGUGAGUGAUCAAAGUAUCUUCUCCACAACUUGUACUUCAUCGAGUCUCUCGCCAUUUCUCCUCAUUUGAUUUACUAUCACAAUGAGCCUUGAGUGAUAGUCGGAGAUGCUCUCCCCUUCAUUCAUAUGAGCAGUUUCAAAAUCUGCUCGAAGUAAUUGUAACCUCACUUUUUUGACUCGAUCUACUCCUUUGUAGAUUGUACUGAGUGUGUCCCAUACUUGCUUGCUUGUUGUUGCUUCUGCAACUUUCUGGAACGUUGAAUCUUCCAGACCCUGGUAUAGAAGAUACAGCGCCUUCUGGUCAUUCUUUCGUAAGUCCUUGAGAGUGUUCCUUUGUUCUGCAGUAUAUGCGGCUUCUUGCUCGGUAGUGGGUACAACAUACCCACUACUGACUAUUUCCCAUAGCUCUUGUGAUCCAAACAAUGCUUUGAAUUGGAUGCACCAUCUUUCAUAAUUUUCUUUCUUCAAUGUGGGAACCUGGAGCUGCACUAAGUUGGACGCCAUAACUGCUGCACUUGCCAGAAUGGUAUUCUGGCUCUGAUACCAAUUGUUGGUAUUCACAAGAGUUUACUAACUCAAUACCAAAAUAUGUGGGUGAUAAGUUUACAAACUCUAUCACACCUCUCACCUUGCACUCUCAAUAAAAUUGGACAAACGAAAGGGAAAGAAGUAACAAGCUUGGUGAUAACAAACACUAUGAAAUAUUAGAAGAGUUUACAACUCUUAAAGCUUACAAGCUGAAAAUGAGAAUGGGAAUUGGAUUGAUGUUCUAAAGCCUAGCAAGAAGGCCUAUUUAUACAAAACAUAAAUUGAUAAACAAUACAACAACAUGCAAUGAAUGAUGGUGUUUACCAUCUUUACACCCUUUCAAACACAUGCAGCAACUUUGGAUAGUUGGCACACACAUGCAUUGCAUUAUUCCAGGUUGGAAUCACAACCUUUCGGCUAGCACACAGCAGCUCACAUCUCUGCUGUCUUUCAACACACUUUCAGCUAGCACAUGGAGGAAACUUUAGUCUUUGUAGUUGCAACAAGUGUGAAUACAACAUGUAAAGAAACUAACAGCUAACAGCUGCCAUUUACAACCUGUUUUGAUUUGAAUUUCCAACAGUUGCAGCACAAUAAUAUGAGAAAUCUUGCCAUACAACACUACCAAUUUUAAAGAUCAUACCAAUUUUAAAGAUCAUAACAUGCAGAGAGACAGUGACAUGAUAAUCUUCCAAACAACAAUGGGGUUUAAGGAAUGCAUUUUAGAAUGUUGAUUCCAAGUUGAGCAUAUAGUGAGAAGAAGCUAUCCACAAAAUGUUAACCACCACGUGAUAUUGGAAGAUGGUUUUGACGUAUUGGGUGAUCCAGUAACUAAAGCAAGUUAGAAUCUAAGUUUAAAUCCCUAUCAGCACUAAAGCAUUAUCUUUCAACAUAACUCAUGACUCAAGCUAAUAAAUUUAACAACUACUCUCAGCUCUAAAUCUUAAGAAUAAUCAGAAAUCCAACAACCUUAAAAUAUUUGACCCUCCCCACAACAUAGAAUUGAUGGUUUCCAGACGCAGUAUCAAAUUUAAAAUAGUAUUGCACCAGUAAACCAUUGACUGAUGUACACACAACAUAAAUGGGUGUGCUUGUGAGUGUGACAUAACAUUGAUCUAAGUAAACCUCAUAAACCAAAAUCAAAACCAGUAAACCAUUGCUCCAAUUUUCUCAAAACACAAAAAAUAUUCCUGUAUUUUGCUCUCAUAAAACCCCACACUAAUCUCAAUCUCAUUUAAAACUAUCCUAAGCAGAUAGCCUUGUUGAAAUUUAUUUGGAGAAAUUGAUCAAUUUCGAAUGGGUGGCCUUAUGAGUGUGUGACAUAACAUUGAUCUAAGAAAAUCAAAACUAAUUUAGAAAACACCAAAUAAUGUGGAACUGGAAAUGAUAAUGAGGGGCAGGCAACCCAGCUCAAAAGGAAUAGGCCUUUACAUUCCUUUUCAAUUUCUUUAACUAAAUAAUUGCAAAUGCAUAUUAAAUAUUCAGUGGUAUUUAAAUCACAGGUGUAUACGAAAUUCUAAUGAUCAUAACAAUAUAUCUUCGACCAAAACAAUACAUCAUUUCGUCUCAAAAAACAAUACAUUAUUGGUCAUAACAAAGGUUUUAAAUUCUAAUAAAAACUUAUAUCAAAAUUCGAUUCAAGCAGUGCAUUAAACAAUAACGACAGCACAACAGUACACAAAUGCUCUCAUAAAUGAAUUAAAGAAUUCUAGAUGUUGUGAUGCCUAACUUAGGAUAAGGUCUUGGAGUGGGACUAAUCAACAAAAUAAAUGAUCAAUGUUUAGAGGAGCUUACAUGGAUCUCACAUCACAAAAAUUAGAGCAUGCACCAAAAUCCACAACAAAUAUCACAAAAAUUAGAGAAUGCCCCAAAAUUUGAGGCCCAAUUCUCUAUUUCACAGAGGAGAAAAACCAAAAAUAAGGGUAACAAAAUCACAAUUCUCUGGUAAUAAAAAUUCAACAAUACAUUAACAAAAUUACUGUAACUGAAUAUACCUCAAAAAGCCAAUGGCCCAAUUGCUCCCUCCAACGAUCCAAAUUUCUGAAAUUCACAAACACAGCAAAUCCAUUAGCAAUUUGACAUGAUUAGUACAAUCAAAAUUCAUAGGAACAAACAAACUUUGCGAGCUAAUUAAAUAUUCACACACACUGCACUCACACACACUGCAUACACACACAAACUGAUUAUAGACACAAUGCACAACAUUCACACACACAGUCACAUAUACACUCACACGCACACCCGCACAUACUGUGUCAUACGUACACACACACAAUUCACACAUACACCCAGUGGCGGAUCCAGGAAUCUUACCCCAAGAGGUCGCAGUGUAAAAGUUCAAAUAAAAAUUUAGGAUGGAAAAACAUAUUGAAAAUGAAAUCAUAGUACUUUCAUUCAUAAUUCAUAAUGGAAACAAUAUUACAAACUAUAAUUGUCCACGACGAGGUUUCAUAUUUUGAAAACGAAGCAUUAUAGCUUCAUUUUCAAUACAAGCAAAAAUAUCUCUCUCAAUAUAAACAAGCAAGCUAUCACUCAACCAUUGAUCUCCCAUUUUGUUCCUAAGUAGACCCUUAACAAUAUUCAUGACAGAAAAUGCUCUCUCCACUGAAGCAGUUGCAACUGGUAAAACUAAAGACAAUGUAAUGAGCAAAUAUACAUAAUUGAAUACUUGAUGCAUCCUUGUCUCCACCAUUUUUUUUGCAAGAUCACCAAUCCCUUCCAAUUGAGAGAAAUCACUACUGGAACACACAUAAUGAAUAUAAAUUUCAAGUUGAUCUUCAAGUGCCAAACGAUCUUCAUCCGAAAAGUCUUGAGGAUAAAAUUGAGCAAGACAAAGUAACUUUGGUUUAUCAAAAGCUACAAAUGAAUCUUUCGGACUCAAACAUGCCAUACAAAUAAGCAACUCGGUAUUUUACCUCAUUAAAGCGAUCCUCUAACUCCGUAAUUUGCUCAUCAAUGACAUAAAUAAAGAGCUCCACACGAUAAUGAUGACGAUUUGUCUUUAUUGGAGCAUAACGCCUUGACCUCCCUGGAAGUAUAAAUGCCUCUUCCAUGUUAGGAACAUCAAUAUGAUGUUUUUCACAAAAAGAAGAUACUUCAUCAACCAAUGCAUCGAACCCAUUAUUCCUCAUCCAAUAUAGCUUUUCCUUGCAUGAUUUCACUAAAGCCAUUGCAUUCACAAUUUCUUGAUCUUUCCUUUGCAAUGCUUGUGACAAAUCAUUUGUGAGUCCCAAUAUGACUUUCAUCAAGAAAAGGUGAAACACAAACUCAAAAGUAAGUAUCACUCUCAUUAACUUAUUUGCUUCACCCGCACUUUCAUUGGGAUUAUCAUCAAUAACCAUUUGAAGCACAUGAACCACGGAUGAAAACAUAGAAAUGAUGCUAAUCAAGGUACCAUAGAGAGUUCCAUCGUGUGUCACCGGCACGUUUGAGACUUGUUUCUUGAUUUAAGCCUCGCCCCGUUAUAAGACAAUCAUUUUCAAAAGCUAUCACAAGCUCUUCUUGAAGUUGCCCUCUAAGUGAAUCACGCCGCUUACAAGAUGCUCCAACAUAAUUAACCACACUAUUAGCCGUUGCAAAAAAAGAGGCAAUGUCUAUAUUCUUCUUUGCUACGGCAACAAGAGCUAGUUGAAGUUGAUGAGCAAAGCAAUGAACAUAAUAUGCACAAGGUUGUUCUCUCAAUAUCUUUGUUUUAAGGCCAUUCAACUCACCUCUUAUAUUGCUAACACCAUCAUAACCUUGUCCUCGUAGCUUGGAAAUGCUCAAACCGUUGCGAGAAAACAAUGUGUCAAUAGCAUCCUUUAGUGAACUUGAAGUAGUGUCGGUAACAUGUUGGAUACCCACAAAUCUUUCAAUUACAUGCCCGUUGUCAUCCACAUAACGCAACACCAUAGCCAUUUGCUCUUUCACAGACACAUCACGUGCUUCAUCCACCAAUAUUGAAAAGAAUCUAUCUUUUAGACCAUCCAUGAUAGCAUCAAGUGUUUCAAGGGCACAUGAAUUCACAAUUUCUUUUUGAAUGGAAGGAGCUAGUAAUUUGAGAUUCCCCGGAGCAUUUUCCAUCACAACUUCUCUAACUUUAUCAUUAUUAUCUGCAAGGAAUUGCAAUAACUCCAAGUAAUUUCCCCUAUUGCUUGAAGUGGCACUUUCAUCAUGGCCACGAAAAGGAAGAGCUUGUCGCAAUAAAAACUUAGUGCACUUGAUUGAAGCAAUCAAGCAUGUGCGAUAAGCCUUACGAGCUUGGUCAGAGUGUUUGCUCACUGCCGUUUCAAUAUGUGUAGCUUGAUUCAUCAAAUUUGUAGCAGCUUCUCUAGCCUUAUUAUGAACACUCCCAACCGGUCCAACAUGCAUCUUAAAUCUUUCUCUCCCUUUCUUCCAAUUCUUAAAUCCAUCUCCAGUGAAAGCUUCACUACCCACUUGUUCAAAAUUGGUUUUAAAGAGAUAGCAAUAGAGACAAAAUGCCGCAUCUUUAGAUACACUAUACUCCAACCAAUCAAACUCAUCAAACCAUUGGGGAAUGAAGCGUCGAUUAAUUCCCGACAUAUUAGUUAUUGGGAAAUUAUGACCUCUAGGUUGACAAGGUCCUUUUUGUAGAUAUAAUCUUCGGACCUCAUCUCUCAUAUUAGCAUCAUAAUCUAUUAUUCGAGUUCUUAAUCCAGGAUCCGCUUGAAGAUUACCCAAAACAUCAUCUAACUGACUUUGUCUUGAACUUGGAGUUCUUGAACUACCAACAGUAUUUGAACUAUCAACAUUAUUCGAACUACCCGAACCCGAUGAUGACUUUCUCUUAAAAAACCGUUCCAUAAUAAUGCUACAUAUACAAAAUAUUCAAAAUAAAUACUCACAAUAUAAACAAACCAUAAACAUAAUCAAAAUAAAUAUGAAUUGGAUUUCAAUUAAAUUAAAUAUCUCAUCUUGCAUUCUACAUAUACAAAAUAAUGAAAAUAAAAACUCACAAUAUAAACAAACCAUCAAUAUAAUCAAAAUAAAUAUGAAUUGAAUUUCAAUUAAAUUAAAUAUAUUCUACAUAUACAAAAAUAUUCAAAAUAAAUACUCACAAUAUAAACAAACCAUAAACAUAAUCAAAAUAAAUAUGAAUUGGAUUUCAAUUAAAUUAAAUAUCUCAUCUUGCAUUCUACAUAUACAAAAUAAUGAAAAUAAAAAAUCACAAUAUAAACAAACCAUCAAUAUAAAAACAAACCAUCAAUAAAAAACAAACCAAUAAAAACUCACAAUAUAAACAAACCAUCAAUAAAAACUCACAAUAAAAACUCACAAAAUAAAUAUGAAUUGAAUUUCAAUUAAUUAAAUAUAUUCUAUAUAUACAAAAUAUUCAAAAUAAAUACUCACAAUAUAAACAAAGGGAGGAGAUGGAGUUGGAGCCGCCAACAGGGGAGCAGCAAGGGAGGAGAUGGAGUUGAGGGUUUGGGGGCAGCAGCAGCAAGGGAGGAGAGGAGUUGAGGGUUUGGGGGGAUUGAGUUAGGGUUGGAGGAUGAGAAAACAAAAGAAAUUGGGGCUAUUGAUUGUAUAGGAGUCGGGUAGGAAGGCUGGGACUGGGGGGGACACGGUGGGAAUUUCUUUUUUUUUUUUUUGUUCGGCCUGGCCCAAAACGACGCCGUUUUGGCCAGGUCAUUUAAAAAAUUUUCCUGGGCCAAAACGACGCCGUUUUGCCCGUCUGUUUUGAAAAAAAAGAAGCGCGCGCGAGCGCUGCUUCUUCUUCCUCUUCCUGCCGAGUCUUCGUUCAGGCUUUUUGUCGAACAGUUGGCGUGCGAGUCCGACCCCGACGACCCCAGCUCCAAGAGGUCGCAUAUGGGAGCUUCAAGGUUGUUUCCAUAGUUUCCAAGGGGUCGUGCGACCCCGACGACCCCACUGUGGAUCCGCCACUGCAUACACCGCCAUGAUAAACCACACUGCAUACACUUACACACUCACACAUUCCCACAUACAAUCCACGUGUAUUACUUUGCACACAAAAUCUUUAUCACACAUACACUAUCAUGAAAAACCAUUUUGCAGAUUUGACAUCCAUUAUAGCACAAAUUAGGUUAUGUUCGUAUCUCUUCAAUAAUAAUGUAUACAUUUCCACUUUAGCACAAUUUUGACAUCCAUUCUAGCACGUUACAAAAACUAUUAUCAACAUUUGUGUAUUAAGAGAUAAACUAUAUUCUUAAUCUGGUAUCAAAAUGGUGUUAAUUUGGGCAAAAACAUUUGUGUAUCGUAUAGUUUUUUUUAGCAAAAAUUAACUAUCCAUUCAUUUUAGUAUUUGUAUUAUCUACAGGAAACACAAUACCUAACCAAUUUCAUAAUCAAAUUCAGCAAUGUAUACAUUUCCCUGGUGAUUUUAGUUUACACUACUCUUAAUAUAACAUGGUUCUUUCUUUUUAAAGUACUUUGUAUUAAUUCUUUUGUGAACAAUUACUCAAUAGCAUCUGUCAAUACUUUAAACAAAGAAGGAAUCACUCGAUUUACCCUUCUAGAUUGGGUUGAAUGGUGGCCAAGUGGCCAUUACCUUUUGGCUAUUAAACAAAAAAAAAGAAAAAAAAAAAAAAGAAGGUGAAAGACAAAAUGAUAAGGGAACAUCAUGAUGAAGAGGCAUCAUGAUUAUGUUUGUUGAAAAGAAAAAAUGAAGGUCAUGAUGAUGUUUUUGAAAUUUUUAUUGGGUGUUUUUGUAUUGAUGAAGUUAUCAUCCGAAUGUGAGAGAGGUAGUGAAGGGUGCACCAUUUUUUGUUUUAGUAGCCCAUCUUUGAGAAAGCAAAGAGAGCUGCAGAGAGCAGAAAACUGAGAGCAGAAAAGAAGAAGAAGGUGCUCUUCUUUUUGGUUAGUAAUCACCCACCAAGGUAGUUGUUGUUGUAAUAGCUUUGAGCUUUGUAUAGAGAAGAAAUUAAUCACUAUAUUUCUUUCUCUAUUUGUUUCUUUGGUGUGUGAAAGCUAUUGAUUGUAUUGGGUUAUUUGGGUUGUGAGAUUGCCAACACUUUGUAAACUUCAAUUUGGUUGAUAGUGGAUUAUUAGGUGAGCUCUUACUGCUCCGAGGACGUACUCCAAUUACAUUGACUGUUGAGGAACCUCGUUAAAAUCUUUGUGUCUUUUAUAUUUUGUUCUUGCAUUUUCAUUUGAUAAAUUUCUUGUGGGUUAACUUGAGUUUGUUCCAUAAGGUUUGGUGCUAUCCUAGCACAACAAUUGGUAUCAGAGCACUGGUUGCUCUUGGGUACUGUCUAGUUGCCAAAGAUGUCAGACGGGCAAGAUGAGAAUCCUUUUGGAAGCAGCUCCGGGUUUGCAAGAACUACGGUGCAAAAUGCAAAGUUUGAAGUGGAAAAGUUUGAUGGCACAAACAACUUCGGGAUGGGGCAAUGUGAGGUCAAAGAUGUGUUGGCUCAACAAGAUCUACUUGCCGCUUUGGGAGAGAAGCCGGAAGCUAUGUUGAAGUUGGAAUGGGAGAAAUUAAAUUUGUGGGCUUGCUCUUCAAUUCGGUUGUGCCUUGCAAAAACUCAGAAGUAUUUUGUGAUGCGGGAGACAUUAGCAAGUGUGUUGUGGCAACAAUUAGAAGACAAGUAUAUGACAAAAAGUGCAGAGAACCGGCUACACUUGAAGAAAAAGCUCUACCGCUUCCAAUACAAAGAAGGUACAAAAAUGAUUAGACACCUUGAUGCUUUUAAUAAGUUGAUUGCCGACUUGUUAAAUUUAGAUGAGGAUAUUAAGGAUGAAGAUAAGGCCUUGAUAUUGUUGAAUUCCUUGCCAGACUUUUAUGAGCAUUUUGUUACCACUAUUAUGCAUGGUAAAGAAACUGUGAAAUUUGAAGAUGUGUCAAAUGCCUUGAUAAAUUAUGAAAUGAGGCAUAGAGAAAAAAAUCAUUAUAGUACCUCUGAAGCUUUAUUUGUUAGAGGUAGAUCAUCGGAGAGGAGGUCCUCUACUAGUAGGAAAAAAUCACACUCUCGACCUAGAGGAAACUCUAAAGGUAGAAAAACCUUGGAAAUGGAUGAAUGUGCCUUUUGUCAUAAUAAGGGCCAUUGGAAGAAAGAUUCUCCUAAGUUGAAGACCAAAGGAAAAGAAAGUUCUGAAGCCAAUGUUGCUGAGGUUGAAACAGAUAUUUUUUAUUUUGCUUUAACCACUUCCUCAUCAUUUGAUUGUGCUACUAAAUGGGUGUUGGAUACGAGUUGUACUCAUCAUAUGACUCCUCACAAGGAUUGGUUUUCAAGCUUGAAAGAGUUUGAUGGUGGUGUUGUGUUCAUGGGAGGUGACAAUCCUUGUACAACAAAAGGGAUUGGUACAGUUCGUUUGAAGUUGCAUGAUGGCAUGGUUAAAGAGUUGACAGGUGUUCGGUAUGUACCGAAUUUGAAGAAAAAUCUUAUUUCUUUGGGCACUUUAGAAUCCAAGGGCUUCAGGUUUCAUUCAGAUGGGCAGACAUUGAAAGUUACUUAUGGUGCACUUGUUGUGAAGCUCCUAGAUAUGGCCAUUUGUAUUUAUUGCAGGGAAGCACUGUGACAGGUGAAGCAUCUAUAGUCUUAGAAAAUAUGGGCACAUCCGAUUCUGAUACUACUAGACUGUGGCAUAUGAGAUUAGGCCAUGCCGGUGAGAAAGCUCUACAAGGGCUUGUGAAACAAGGUCUUCUAAAAGGUGCCACAACUUGUAAGCUUGAUUUCUGUGAGCAUUGUGUCUUGGGGAAGCAAACUAGAGUGAAGUUUGGUACUGCUGUACAUUAGACGAAGGGCAUUCUUGAUUAUGUGCAUUCGGAUGUUUGGGGUCCUACAAAGACUCACUCUUUGAGUGGUAGACAUUGGUUCAUGACCUUUGUUGAUGAUUAUUCAAGAAGGUCUUGGGUCUACACUAUGAAACACAAGAGUGAGGUAUUAAACAUUUUCUUGGGUUGGAAGAAAAUGGUUGAGAACCAGACUGGGAGAAAGAUUAAGAUUUUGAGAUCGGAUAAUGGUGGUGAAUACACAUCCAACCCUUUCUUUAAAGUUUGCAAAGAGGAAGGGAUUAUGAGACAUUUUAGUGUCCGGGGAACUCCACAACAAAAUGGAGUUGCAGAAAGAUUGAAUCGAACCUUGCUUGAGAAGGUUAGAUGUAUGUUGUCUCAGUCGGGUUUAAGCAAGUCAUUUUGGGCAGAGGCAGUUAAUUAUGCAUGUCACAUCAUCAACCGGUUACCCUCAGCUGCUGUUCAGGGUAAGACACCAAUGGAGGUAUGGACUGGAAAACCUUAUUCUGAUUAUGACUAUAUCCGUAUUUUUGGUUCACCUGCUUAUUUUCAUGUGACUGAAAAUAAACUUGAUCCUAGAGCCAAAAAGGCUAUCUUUCUUGGUUUUAGUAGUGGUGUCAAAGGUUACAGGUUGUGGUGCCCAAAGAUGAAAAAACUUGUAAUCAGCAGAGAUGUGACAUUUGAUGAAUAAAGUAUGUACAAAGACUUUGAGAAGAAUGUGAAAGAUGUCCAACAGGUGGAGCUUGAGAAGUUGCCUCUGGUACUUCAAAUCCUAUUUCCGCUGAUGUCGAAGCCACUACAAGUGAAGAAGUUGGAGACCAUGAGGAUGUUGAAGAAGUUGAACUUGAAGAUUCUAUUCAAGUUGAAGAGCAAGUUUCACCUCAAGAGUCUAUUGUAAAGAACAGAGGAAAGAGACAAAUUACCAAGCCAGCUCGGUAUAGUGACUAUGUUGCUUUUGCUCUUCCUAUUAUCAUUGAUGAUAUUCCAUCCAAUUUCGAGGAAGCCAUUGAGAGUGAGGAGAAGAAGAGGUGGUGCAAUGCCAUGAGUGAUGAGAUGAAUUCUCUCUUGAAGAACAAGACUUGGGAGUUAGCUAAAUUGCCUAAGGGCAAGAAAGCUAUCGGUUGGAAAUGGGUGUAUGCCAAGAAGGAAGAUGCUGAUGAGAAAAGCAAUGUAAGAUUUAAAGCAAGAUUAGUUGCUAAAGGGUAUGCACAAAAGGAGGGCAUUGACUACAAUGAAAUCUUUUCUCCAGUUGUGAAGCACUCCUCAAUUCGCAUUAUGUUAGCUCUUGUUGCACAGUAUGAUCUUGAGCUUGUGCAACUUGAUGUGAAGAUGGCUUUCCUAUAUGGUGAUUUGAAUGAAGAGAUCUAUAUGUGUGAACCGGAUGGGUAUACAGUGAAAGGGAAUGAGAAUUUGUUUUGCAAAUUGAAUAAAUCACUUUAUGGCUUAAAGCAAUCUCCAAGGCAAUGGUAUUUGAGGUUUGAUAAAUUUAUAAGAGGCCAAAAUUAUUCUAGAAGUCAAUAUGAUCAUUGUGUGUACUUCAAGAAGUUGCAAGAUGGGUCUUUCAUUUAUUUGUUGAUAUAUGUUGAUGAUAUGUUGAUUGCCUCAAAGAAUGUCGAAGAGAUUGAGAAAUUGAAGAAGCAAAUGAAGAAUGAGUUUGAGAUGAAGGAUCUUGGUGAAGCGAAGAAAAUCCUUGGCAUGGAGAUCACUAGAGAUAGAUUUGGGGGUUGAUCAGAAGCAGGUGGAGGUACAUUGUGAUAGUCAGAGUGCCAUUUAUUUGGCUAAGUAUCAGGUUCAUCAUGCGAGGACCAAGCACAUAGAUGUGCGUUAUCACUUUGUUCGUGAAAUUGUUGGUGAAGGGGAAAUCAUUCUCCAGAAGAUUCCAACUAAAGACAACCCCGCUGAUAUGUUGAAAAUGAUGAUGGAACAUCAUGAUGAGGAGGCAUCAUGAUUAUGUUUGUUGAAAAGAAAAAAUGAAGGUCAUGAUGAUGUUUUUGAAAUUUUUAUUGGGUGCUUUUGUAUUGAUGAAGUUAUCAUCCGAAUGUAAGAGAGGUAAUGAAGUGUGCACCAUUUUCUGUUUUAGUAGCCCAUCUUUGAGAGAGCAAAGAGAGCUACAGAAAGCAAAAAACUGAGAGCAGAAAAGAAGAAGAAGGUGCUCUUCUUUUUGGUUAGUAAUCACUCACCAAGGUAGUUGUUGUUGUAAUAGCUUUGAGCUUUAUAUAGAGAAGAAAUUAAUCACUAUAUUUCUUUCUCUAUUUGUUUAUUUGGUGUGUGAAAUCUAUUGGUUGUAUUGGGUUAUUUGGGUUGUGAGAUUGCCAACACUUUGUAAACUUCCAUUUGGUUGAUAGUGGAUUAUUGGGUGAGCUCUUACUGCUUCGAGGACGUACUCCAGUUACACUGACUGUUGAGGAACCUCGUUAAAAUCUUGGUGUCUUUUAUAUUUUGUUCUUGCAUUUUCAUUUGAUAAAUUUCCUAUGGGUUAGCUUGAGUUGUUUCCAUAAGGUUUGGUGCUAUCCUAGCACAACAGAUUGCAUUUCAAGUUAUACACCAUACCUGAAUGAAUUUUCUAGAUUGCAUUUCCUAUAUGAAUUCUGUAUUUAGGCAGUAAACUGUUGGAUAUAACCAAGGUCCUAAUUCCUAAUCACUUUAAUUGAUCAAAGUGGCCAAGCAAAUCUUCUUGCAGUUUGUCUUUGAAAAAAUCCUACUUGGAGUAAAAAUAAAUAGUAGUAAGUUAUAGCAUAACCAGUAAAUUGAAUUUGACCUACAAAAAAACAAUUUGACCACUGCACAUAUAACUCCAUAAAUUACUUACCACAUCAACCUUGAGAGGUCCAACAUGUCUAAAAGUCGCAAAAACUUUUCCAUGUUCAGCUCUAAUCACCUACAAACACUGAAAAGCAGAGGAAAACAUAUAAAUUCAUUAAAAUUCUCUACCCACGGAUAAGUUAAAAAUCGAAAGCACUGACCAUUCCAAGGAAAAGAGCAGCCAUUAUUAGGAUCCAAAACUCAUUCCUUAGUCUCCUCAUCUGGGUACUCGACUCCGUAAUCUUUGCUUUAUUUCCAUUAUAUAUACACACUUUGUCAUUAUAUAUUUUUCUAGAAAAAAACCCUAAAAGUUAGACGAUUCUAAUCACUGAAAUAGAAUGAAAAUUAAACUUUUUGGAGAAAUAAAUAUUUUAAUAUGUAUAAAAAAGAAAUUAAAAGAGAAAUAAUCAAUUUUUUUCUAAUUCUUAGAACACCAUCAUCAGCCUAAUUGGCAGAAAUCAAAGUAAUUACACGCUUGACCACUUAAUCAGCUUAAUCACAGAAUAAAAUUAAGAUCCCUCAAUUCCUUCCACCAUAUUUUUGCACACAUGCAGUUCUCCCUAUAAAAAUUCCAGAAAACUCAUUAUUAGGAGAGAAAUAGAAAAGGACUUUUAGAAGUUGUCUAUGAAGCAAAGGAAUCCAACCCAAAAUGUAUGUGUGCAACUCAUUGGAAUCAAAUCAAAUCCAAUAACAAUAAUAAAUGACUUCUUACCUAUAAGUGGUAAAACCAUUUUACCAACUUAGGAAACCCCUGCCCAAAUGAUUUGUAAUUGAUAUAAUUUAAAUGGAACCAAUAUGGAAUGAAUAGUAAACAACUUAAACCACUGGACGAAGUCAAAGACUAUGUACCUGUUUUCACGUUUCAUACUGGAUUCAGUAAAUCUCUUUAAUAAGCUGCUUACUCGCAAUUGGAUAAACUUAAUUUGGAGGCUAAAAAUUAUCUGAAAAGUAGUUUCAAAUGGCAUCUGAUAACUCAAACAAACAACGGAGAACACAUUCAAGAAAAAGAAAAAGAUGACAUGAGAGUCGAAGUUACCAAGUAUGUGCAGAUGGCAAGUAAUCUACGCCUUGUGCAACAAAAAUUUAUGUGAGCCCGAGAUCCCUUGAAGUGCACCAAAACCUUUUAAAAGCACCUGGACAAUAUGAGCAACACUGCUCAGAUUACAUCUUAUACAACAAAUACAGUAGAUAUCAUAAUAUAUAGCGAAAUUGUCACAGCCCGUCCCGGAGAUGUGCAUUAUUUUAUUCUCGAUGACGUGAAAUGACGGUUUUAUCCUUAGACGUUGAGACUAUAGUGUAUGUGUGUGACAUAUUAUGAGACUUAGAGGUUAUUUUUUAUUUUUGGAUUGGUGACCCACGUGGACCACACACACACCACACUCACUCAUUCUCUUCUCUCCCGUACUCUCUCAUCUAUCUCGGACUCACUCUCUCUUUCUUCUUCCUCGUACGGACCAAGCUCGAGGUGAGCUUCCCAGUCACAGAUCGAAGAUUCUAAAGGCACCAUUGCAUUCCUCGUGCCAUUUCGAGUUGGUUGGUACCCAUUUCAGGUAAGGAUUCCUUCGAAAUCUUGAGAACCCGAAACUCAUUUUUCAUGCACUAUUCAUGUGGACGUAAAACCUUAUGUUUCAGAGGAUUUCAAGCUCACAGGGAGCUUUAGGAGGUCCUAAGGAAGCUUAGGGUAGUUCGUUGGAAGAGUUUGGAUGUCGGAAGGCCGAGAUCGAAGUUUUUCAAAGUUGACCAGAUUAUCGAGCUUCCUCAGGUAAAUUCUAGUGGAUUUCAAGGCUUAAAAAUAGUAUAACGUGAUUCUACAUGUUAUUAGCUUCAUUUUGGUAACAAUUUUAUGAACAAUGGUGAAGAAAUGAAGGAGAAUAGUAGUUUUGAAGUUUUACCCAGAAACCGGCGAAGUCAUCGGCGACCGGCAACUCGCCGGAGAAGAAAGGAGCAUAUUCCGUUAAGGUUAACGGAAUAUGCUAACGCCGUCAAUUAGAGUUAACUGUUACCGUUAGGUUUUAAUGGAAUAUUCCUUAGAAUAUUUCUAACGGCAUUGACUGACGCCGUCAGUGUGCAUGUCACGUGGCCGCGCGUGGGGGCGCGUAGGGCCGUGCCCUUGCCGGAGCGUGGCGGCGCGUGAGGGGUCAGAAAAAUAUUCUAAAAAUAUAGGGAUGAUCCUGAGGUUGUGUAGGUCACUGUGGUAUAUUCAUAUACCCAUUUUGAGCAUGGUAUGAGAAGUUAUUAGCUAGUUUUGUCCAUACGCUCUAAAAUAACAUUUUUAUAGUUAAUUCACAUAUAGGUGCGACUUAUCCCAAGGACGAGCGUAUCCAAGGGCGACUCGGGGGCUACGACCCUUUGACAUACCAGUGAGUGGGCUUUUGGUUUUCAGUAUAUAUUUAUAUACCAGAUAUUUUCCCAGAAAUAUGUGUUUAAAUGAUAGUAUGCCAUAAAUGCCAUGCAUAUAAGUCUAUAAUUCAUAUAUGAAUUGGUAUGUGAUGCUUUAUAUAUAUAAAUGUGGUGCCGUGGACGCUCAGGUAAGCUCAGGUAAGUUAUGUUUGGUUAUGUGAAUCAUCGAUGAUGUGAUAUGGGAUUGAAUAACGUUGAGCUCAUAAAACUGCACCUAGAGUGAUUAUGAAUUAGCCAAAGAUAUGGCACAUGCCUAUUUAUUAUGUCACCUCCUGCACCAUAUGCUCAUAUUGGAUCCAAUUUAGGUGCACAGUUUUGUCGUACAGACCUUAUUUAUGGUUCUGACACGUAGGUGACUAGUGAUGUAUCGCCCAUCUAUUAUGUGAGAGUAGUAUUGAGCAUGAUUAUAUUACACCCAUUAUUGUCGUACAGACCUUUGCAUUUGGUUCCGACUCUUGUGCAGUAUAUUGCCGUAUAGGUCAUUGUAGUGACUCCGGCUAGAUUGACUUUGAGCUAUGAAUUUAGCCGUACAGACUACCACAUGGGUUUCGGCUAACAUGUUAUAUUUCUAUGAAAUUAUUCUUACCUGAAUUGCUUACUCUGUUAUAUCUUGGCAUGGCAUACAUAUGAAUAUGAUUAUGUGAAGCAUGAUUUGAAUUGAUAUAAUUACAUAUAUAUUUAUGUAUAUGCUUAUAUCUUGAUUCUGGGAAAAAUUAUACUUGUUUUACAGCGAGGGGUUAGAUAUGUUGAUAAAUGAAAUGGUUUUGUAAAACAUUUGUUUUGCCCCAUUCACGUUUUCUGUUUUACGCCCUUCCAGGUUUUAGUAAGCUUGAUGUUGGUGGCUUUGAGGACUUUGGCGGUUCUGACAUAUCUAAAUAAUUGUAGGACAUCUUAUGGUACUGUAUAACUAGUACUGGUCCUACUGGACUGCACCUAGACUUUCUAUGCUCUGAUUAGGAGUGUUUACUUCUGUAUCUUACUCAUAAUACUUUCGGUUUAGUAGUGCACUCUAGUAGUUCGGUUUUUAAUUAUUCAUAUAUUUCUUAUCAUUAUUGCUUCCACACUGUGCACAUGGCUACGUCACUCUCACGUGACGGCCAACAUGCCUUGAUCUUGGUCGGGGUGUGUCAGAAAUUAUGUCGAAAAAUUUAACGAAAAAUUCAUACAUAAUUGCAAAAAAAUAAAAAUAAUAAUAAUAGUAACAAUGUGGUUAUUUGACCUCUUUCAUUAUUUAAAGCCGCCGCAGAAGAGCUCUGCCGUUUAAGAUCCUCGCACCAGAGCCCUCUUCAUGUCUGCCAUCCUUUCGUUUUUGUCUCCAUUUUAGGGCAUUCACACAAAAACUGUUAUUCACAUAUUAGCUUUCAUAGUUUCACGGAUCCAUCUUAUUUGGACUUCAAUAUAGACAGAGGUGCAUAUCUGUACCUUUGACAUUCGGCCAUGAAAAUGAAUGAAAGGGAGAGGUGGACGUGUUUUACCUUUAUUGGUCUUGGGAUUUGAGGAGUCCUUCGUGAAGGUGGAGUCGUCAAUGAUGAGUGCAGAGCCGAUCUCUCUCUAGCCUUCCCCUCAACCUCACCCCCCGGGCAACCAUACCUCCCCAUCUCUCUCUCUGCAGCAAACACGCGUCACUCUCCUAGAACCUUACCCCCAAAUCGAUCAUGACCGCACCCACCCUCUCACCUUCUCUCCCCGUAAUCCCGCACCCAAACCCCACUCUGUCCACCUGGAACCCCUCCCGUCAACCCUUUCUCUACCUGCAACCCAUCAACCCCUCUGUGAACCAUGCCUCUACCGACGUCGACAGCAACCACCCCAAAACACAUAAUGACAACCCAUCAACCCCUCUGUGAACCAUGCCUCUGCCGACAUCGACAGCAACCACCCCAAAACACAGAAUGACAAAAGUGCCUCCAAAUCUUGUCCAUUGGAUUUGGAUUGAAGCGGGCAAAAAAGUCAUUUCGACUCUUUCUGUGCAACCCAGCCCAACACAUUGGACAACCCACUUCUGAAGCCCACACCUGUCCCAAAAUAGGCCCAAAUUGGGCCCAAGGCACCCAAACCUACGGACAAUAUUACCCUCCUAACUUUUAGUAAUUACCUCAGCCCAACACAGAUUUAGUGGCAGUAGUAUGCAAAUAAAGCAAAAUCAAGGGGCAAAAAAAUUGACUAUAGCUAAGCUACAGUCAAUUUCUCCUCAAUUUUAGAAUAGAUAAUUUCAAUAGUGUAGCUAACAGUUAGCAUCAUUUUAUACAUGUUGAAGAAUCUUCUACAAUUUCAGGACUCAGAAGAAUGGAUUGCAGACAAGAAUACGUUGGAAAAGAUAGGGAAGAGAUGAAGUUACCAUUGUUCGACUUGACCACCAUAGCUAAAGCCACUAACAACUUUUCAAGCUACAACAAGCUGGGAGAAGGUGGCUUUGGACCUGUGUCCAAGGUAACAUGAAUUCAUGCAACGAAAAUUAGCUAUAUUGCUAUAAAAAAUUUAAGUUUUUUCGAAAUGAUGGUCCACAGGGUACAUUGAUAGGAGGAAACGUAAUUGCAGUAAAGAGGCUUUCAAAGAAUUCUGGACAAGGAAUAAGAGAGUUCAGAACUGAAGUUAUACUCAUAGCCAGAUUUUAGCAUCGCAAUCUUGUUAAGCUUCUUGGUUGUUGCAUUAAAAAAGAUGAAAAAUUCUACUAUAUGAAUUCAUGCCCAGCAAAAGCUUGGACUUCUAUAUUUUUGGUAUGAUCCUUCAUUUUCAACCUUAUUUACCUAGGAUUCAAUGUGCCAUUGAAAUAACAGGCUUAAAGUUUUUUCAGACCAGAAGGGACAAAAAUUGUUCGACUAGCCUAAGUGCUUCCACAUUAUCGGUGGAGUUGCCCGAGGGCUUCUUUAUCUUCACCAAGACUCUAGAUUAAGGAUUAUACAUCGAGAUCUGAAACCUAGCAAUAUUCUGCUAGAUGAUAAUAUGAACCCGAAAAUUUCAGACUUCGGCCUGGCUAAAACAUUUGGCGGUGAACAAAGUCAGGCCAACACAAAUAAAGUGGUUGGAACCUAGUAAGCAUGCUUAGACUUGCUUUGUGGUUUAUAAUUUUCAUUGUUCUGCUUUUGAAAUUCUUUCUCACUGGUCACUACAUAUUGAUCUGGCAGUGGUUAUAUGUCUCCGGAAUAUGCAACAGAUGGAAUUUUUUCGAUGAAAUCUGAUGUGUUUAGCUUUGGAGUCAUACUGCUCGAGAUGUUGAGUAGGAGAAGAACAGGGGAUUUCGUCAUCUAGAUCACGACCACAACCUUCUUGGACAUGUAAGUUUAACCAACGAGGUGAUGAUAUUUUACUUUAAAAAGAAUAGUGAAUUAGACGGUGCUCUUCGAAGCACGUCUUCUAAUGACAUGCAUUUGACAAUACCCCUUUUACAUAUUAGCCCACUAACAUAUCAUACAUGUUUCAAUUUGUUUUAAGGCAUGGAUAUGAUGGAUUCAAGAUAAACCACUAGAACUGAUCAAUAAGACGUUUUGUGGUUCGUGCAACACAUCUGAAGUGGUAAGGUGUCUUCAUGUGUGGCUGUUAUGUGCGCAAAGAGUACCUGAGGAUAGACCAAGCAUGUCAUCUGUGGUUCUGAUGUUGAGCAGUGAUGUUGCCUUGCCGCCUCCAAAGCAGCCCGGUUUUUACACUGAACAAAGUGUCCCUAAAUCACCAUCAAGGACGCUUCUUUGUUCAGAGAAUACUUUCAGCACUACGUUGGUAGAACCUCGGUAGAUCAUCAUUGCAGUGCUUGUUAGUCCUUCAAUCUACCAUCACAAAACGUGUUUGGAAGGUUGACAUGAAGCUUUUAAUCUUAGCUGGCAAACAAUGAGACGUGUGAUUAUAACUCUGCAAGAAACAUAUUUAUGAUUACAACUUUAGGAGUUCCAGAUAAUAACUGAUAUAACAGAAAUGCCACAUGACAUUAUUCUAGUGGUUAAGUUUGUUAAUAUAGUUAGAAGGGUAUUAUUGUAAUUGGGAUAUAUGGCUAUAUAAGAGAUGGUAUAGCUAUCAUUUCUUUAAGUUCUUUUGUAUACAUUUUCUCCAUUUUAAUCAAUACAAUCUUUCUGGUUUUUCUCUCUAUCAUCUUCAUCUUCCUUUGUACCAAUUCUUCAUCUUUUACAAUGUAGUUAAUAUGGUAUCAUAGCCACCAAGGCUCACGCCAUGAAUCUUGGUGGUCGAUUCCUCUUCUAUUUUUUUUUUCUUCAUUACUUUCUUUCGUUUCCGCGUAUUUGAUCGAAGAGGGAAGACUUGAGAGAAUCGACGUUGGAGAGGAGAGAUCGAAGGUCGUCGACGUCCUCUUCCAAAGCGUAAACAGUGUCUUUGAGGCUGAGGCGGCUCUGCUCCUCAGCUUGGUGAGUCAGAACCUCGGUCAAUUGGUGAUUGACAAGCUUCGUCGGCGAGGCAGCAGGAAGAGGAUCUCCACCAGCCAAUCGCCGAACUCCUUAUUGACCUUCCGUUCGAUGUGCCACCGAAUAUCUGGAAUCUUCUUCUCCAUCAUCUGCUUGAGCAUAGAAUCGCUCCCUGCCCCUGUGAUGCCAUUCGAUUUCGCUCAAGAACUGCAGUUUCAGAUUUUGUCGUUCAGUUCAUUCUGUAUUUUCUGGGUAAAUUUUUGUUUUGGGUUGUGAUCAGAGAUCAUCGGUGUUAUGAUAUCUUGGUCUUUGGAAUUGUGGCAAAUUUUUCUUCGUCUGAAGCUUGAAUCUUGCUCCUUCGGGCCAAAUUAGAAGUGGGAACUUCUUGAUUCUUGAAUUCGGGAAAGGAAAAUUUUCUAGGGAAAUGUCAGAUUCCGGGAAAGGAAAAGCAUCAGCUUCUAGGCAAGUGUUCGAUUCCGUUGAAGGAAAGUAUGAUCGUUAUGUUCCUGGGUUGAAAGAAAGUACGACGGCGGUGGCCUCUCUCAGGUGCCGAUUCUGAAUUCUGCAAGUAUAAGAUGGGUCCAGACCAACACUCUAGUUCGAUUUAGCGAAAUGAAUUCUACAUCGGUGCUUAUAAAGAUGGUUCUAUUUGGAGGACCAACAAGUUUAUGGAUAUUUGCAUAGGGCUGAUGGUUGCGCUUGCUGAUGGCGGCGACGAGCAUUGCGGCUUGAUAGCGUAUGCUUGUUGAGAAUUUUUCGAACUGUUUUUGCUUCUUGUGAUAUUUUAGUGGAAUUGGCUGUGAAACAAUUUGGGUAUUGCAAAUUUUUUUGUGGAUUGUUUGUUCAAGAUUGCAACUAUUGGGAGCUCUUCCGGUUCUGAUUCUGUGCACUCCAACUGGUUGAAGAAAUGGGUCAGUGAAUUAUGUGAUCUCUACUCUAUUCUUUGGUACAGAAGAAAGAUUAGACAUGGGUGCAAUCCUGGUGUUUGUCGAAUUACCCAACUCAAAAGUUUCAUGUGAAGGUUAUAUUUGGUUUCUUGGUUAAUAGUAUUAGUUUUCUUGUCAAUUUAAAGAAGAAAGUGUCAUUCUUUCUAUGAAUUUUGGAGUUUCAUUCUCCUAAGUUGCCGUAUGAUUUGGAGUUUCAUUCUCCUACGUUGCAGUAUGAUUUGUGUUCAUGGAGUGUCAGUCUCCUUAUUUGGUAUUUUUAGUAGAAGUUUGAGAUUUGUGUUGUGCUUUGGAGUAUCAUUCUCCUUGGCUGAUUUGGUUUGUUGGAGUGUCAUUCUCCUUGGUUAAUUUGGUUUUUUUUGGAGUGUCAUUCUCCUUGAUAGAUUUUGUAUGGCUUCUCAGUUCACAGUCGAAAAUUUGUUGGGUGUGUUAAGGAUAAAGCUGGAUUGUACUUGUGGUUUUCAUCAUGGCUUCACCAACGGCAACAGUUGUAGUCUUGUGUGAUGAUAAUGGGGUGCGCAGAGGUUUUUGGUCAGCAGUUACAUGGGGUGAGCAGAGGUUUUUGGUCAGCAGUAACAAAGGUGUCAGUGGGUGCUUUCUUGUUUGCAGCAGGUUAAUUCUUGAAGCACAGAUCAGUCUCAAAUACUGGCUAGUUCAAACUUCACUUGGAUAUUCCAAGUUUAGUUUGAGGGGGAGUAAUAACUGAUAUAACAGAAAUGCCACAUGACAUUAUUCUAGUGGUUAAGUUUGUUAAUAUAGUUAGAAGGGUAUUAUUGUAAUUGGGAUAUAUGGCUAUAUAAGAGAUGGUAUAGCUAUCAUUUCUUUAAGUUCUUUUGUAUACAUUUUCUCCAUUUUAAUCAAUACAAUCUUUCUGGUUUUUCUCUCUAUCAUCUUCAUCUUCCUUUGUACCAAUUCUUCAUCUUUUACAAUGUAGUUAAUACCAGAAGCAAAACAAAGAAACGAUUUGGGGUCGUUAGGUUGAAGAAAAUUAAGUUAUAGCUAAAGUUGUGUUUAUUAUUUAUAUACUUUAUUUUAUUAUUUCAUAAGAAUAUAAAAAUUUCAUUGAGAAGUAGAUCAUGCAUAAGUACACAGGAAGUUGGAGACGAGCCUUCCUCCAACAACACUAUAAACUCCUCGAAAGGAAUUGCCAUAUUUGGCUAAGAUCACAAAAUGUAAAGCUUUAUGGAUCGCGGUCCAUGCACUUAGGUCUAGUUCGGGUAUUUGAUCGAACCAGGCAGGCUAUUUGUAAAUGGCUGGAAUUCACACUCGAGUCUGGUUCGAGACGUUUGAUGGUUAGAUUUGAUCAAAAGAUGUAAUUUGUGAAACAAAAGUGAGUAAUUGCUUCAUGAUACUGGGGAGAGAGGUGUUUGUCAUUUAAGCUUCUUUGCCAAUCCUCUAUUGGUAGAAAAAAUUCAGUACAGGCAUUUGGACCACAUGGCCAUCUUCCUGCAAACACAAAUAUCACACUAAACUAAGGCAGUUGUACCGCAAUUUCUCUCCAUCCGAGAAGUGGUUAAGUUCAUCGGCUAGCUGUCAACUUAGUUUAUCCUUGAGACCAACUUUUCAAACCAUGGGACCCAAAGUCUUACAAAAAAAAUAAUAAAUGGUAAAGGAAAAAAACCCUUGAAAGAGAGUUAAUAUUCUUCUUCCAACUCCUGUGCAUAAAUGAUGUACAAUUUCACUUGAUUUUCUAGUAACUUAUUAUUUAAGUGACUUGAUAUUCAACUAAUCUUGCAACCUCAAUAUAGCUAGAAUAAUAGGGUCUUAAGUCUGAUUGACCAAUUACGUAAUCACUGUUUAGUAAGACUUAUUAUGGUGGGACAUGAAAUAUAUAAUUGUGGUUAUGAGUAUUUCUCAUGUGAUAAUAGGGUUGAUUGAGUGAUAUCCUAGCAACUAUAUAGUUUGGAGAGAGUAGAAGACAUUCUUAUACAUGCGCCGAUUCCUCUCUACAUAUAAGUUAAUUGUAAUUCGUUUAUUGAAUUAUUGGUUUAUUAAAUCUGUGAUCCUAAUGUCUUAGUUAUUGUGAUUUCAGAAUAUAUCUUACACAAUCUUCAAUUAACACACAAUAUUUGUUUUAAUUAUUUUUAAGGCAUGGACAUUAUGGAUUCAAGAUAAAUAGCUUGAACUGAUCGAUAAGACGCUUUCAGAUUCGUGCAAACAAAUCUGAAGCUGUAAGGUGUCUGCAUGUGGGGCUGUUAUGUGUGCAAAGAGUACCUGAACGAAGUGUCCCAAAUCACAAUCAAGGAUACAAUUAACAAGAAAAUGUUUGAAUUGUGAAUAAUGUAAGAUAAAAUAUAUAAUGGAGAAGGAAAGUAGUUCAUGCUUAAACAACAUGUAUAGGAGGUUGGAGAAGCAAGACGAACAUUUAUCCAACAGCAAUGAAAUAUGGAGGUUCACCAAACCUGUCACUUUGUAACCCAAAGCAUGCAAGCCGGUGAGCAACUUCGUUGGCUUUUGGCAACAGAUAUGGAUAAAAUCUUCUCCAGUGAUCCCAAAUGACGUCGAGGUAAGACAAAUAAGAACCCAUUGAUGCGUCCAUAGAAAGAUGAAUAAGAACCCAAAUGACGUAGAGCUAAGACGAUCUAAAAGUAAAAGAGUAACACAAACACUGCUAAAUUUUUACACUUCAACUGUUUGAGUAAUUGAUGAACUUAAAUUUUAUACUUAAUCUAAAUAAAAAAGUUGACAAAACUAAUAAAGUUCUUAAAUUGUUAUAAUUAUUAAAAUAUGACCGAAGUGGAACAUAUCAACCUGAACGAGAUAUUUUUCUUGUACCUGAAACAUCGACAUUGAAAAAUAUACCUUAAAUGGAACAUAUCAAAUUUAUUGUCCACUUGUUUAUAAUAUGUGUUGUACCAUGGUUGUGUGGGAAAAUGCAUCUUAAUUUAUCAUGGUUGUGGGAAAAUGCCUCUCGUAUUUUAUUUUGACCUAAUUUUCACAAGUUGAGUACCGUUAUGUGUAUCCUCUGUUUGUUUUGUUUAGGUAUACAAUUUGUAGGUGUGGAAUUUGGACUGAUAUAUGCUGGCUUUGUUUUUGGGGUUGCCUCAGUUCAUAAUUAUGGUUGCUAGUUGCCUUAAUUCAUGGUACCUCGGUGUACUAUUAACCUCUAAUGCUUUUCUUGGUUACUUGCUGCCUCAAUACAUUGUUGCCUUUGUUUUUUUUCGCAAUUUUCCCCAAUUUGUUGCUCAGUUAUCCUGAUACCGGGAUUUAGGGUUAUCUCAGUAUAUUGUUGCUACAGUUUAUGGUUUUCUUGGGUUAUCUUGAUACAUUGAGUCAUUGUUGCCUUGGUAUAUUUUUGUGGAAGUCAAUAGUUGCCUCAAGUAUUUUGAUGCCUCAUCCAUGGUUGCCUCGGUUGUAUAGAUGCCUCAAAUAGUGCUUGUCUCUGUUUAUUGUUGGUUUCAGUUAUGGUUUCCUCAGUUGUAUUGAUGCCUCGAUUUAUUGUUGAUUUCUAUUAUAGUUGCCUCAGUGCUUCGAUUAGUGUAACACUUGGAUAUAUAUAUAUAUAAAUUAUAGGAGUAAGAUUAUUUUAGUUAAAAAAAAAAAACAAAGAAACAAAUAAGGAUGAGCUAACGUGUAGCCAUCCCCCAUUUUUCUUCUUCUUCCCAACCAUCACACGGUGGGUGAGCCAAGGAAUCAGAUUCUGUCCAUAAAUGUUUGGGGUGAUGUGGGUAGUCUAGGGGGUGUGAGUAAGCAUUCUAAAUCAGGAGAGGCAAUGAUAGGCUUAGAGGGAGUAUUUCCAACUCUCACUGAAGAAUUAGAGGAGAGUGAGAGGUUUUGGAAAGGGAAAAGUAGGAAAUCGGAAGAGGGAAGCUGAGAGGGUGCUGGUGUGUUCUUCAAUUGGUACAAAAGGUUAGCUUAAAUUUGUUAAAUUUCUAUUUUCUUACCUCUGCAACCUUGAUUUCUAGAAAACAGCAGUUUCGUGAACCUCACUUUGGCUCUUGUUUCUUCUCAAUCCAUUUCAUCUUCUUAAAGAGUCUUCUUAUAUAUUUGAAAUUAGAUAUGACAAGGAUCAAAGCCCAAUUUAUUUCAUCGUUUUUGGUUGAGAUCUUCUAUGGAAAAAUAUGAUUUGAAAAUGUGAAAAAAAUCUGGAAAUCUUCAGAUUUUCUGCAGAAAAACUGGUUGUGAACUCAACUUUGGAACUUGAUUAUUUUCUUCUCUUAAAUCCAUUUCGAGAAACUCUUGUAGAUUAGAAACUAGGUUUGUUAAGCUUUAAAAUCCAAGUAAUUUCAUCCUUUUACAUGGAUUUUUGAGGGAUGAAAAUAGGGUCACAAUAUGGGGACUUAAGCUUGGUUUUUCACGGGGUUGUGAUGGGUAUAUUUGGGUAAAUCUUUUGUUAGGCUGAAAUAGAAUUUUCAUUCCAGUUUUAUGCUAACUUUUACUAUUAUUUAUGUGAUGUUAGGCCUGGGAGUGACUACGGACACUUCAGAGGCUUAGAGAGGUAUUAUAGUUAGCUGGACAAGAGGUAGGGGCUCUAUUUCCCGAUGAUAGAUCUAUAUCAUGGUUAAUCUUUGUGAUAUUAGUAAUUAUAUCUAAUACAGUAGUAAUGAAAUGCUUGGGUGAAAUUGAAUCAAUUGAUUGUCUUGGUUGUUAGGGUUGAUGGUUUCUUUUUCGGUGUAUUAUAUAUAUUGACUAUGUUAAAUGUUGUUAUGUUUUGAUGAAUGGUUGAGUUAUAUAAAAUUGUUGGACUGACUAUGUUGAGGUUUACAAUUGUGUUUGUUAAAUUGAAAUGCUCAGGUUGCAUUAUAUGUUAUAGAGUUAAGUGUUGGGUUGUGUAAACUUGGUUAAGCAAAUUGUUGAAAACUUGUAUAUGUUCAAGCGUAGGGUGAAGGGCUUGAACGUAUAGUUGGGCGUCGGGAGAAAGGCCCAUGUUAAUGAAACUGAAACUACUAAUAAAAUUCGGGGUUAAGGGAGGAAUGGGAGUUAAUUUAUAUUUUAUGGUAUUCGGAACCAAGUGGUAUAAGCAUGGUAUGGGACGUGCAGGUUUGGAUGCCAUAAAUAUAAGUUAGCGGGAUUAGAAGGGAGUGAGUUCAUGUGUACUUCUUUGUCAUAUCAUUUGUAUUUUACCGGAUUAUUUGAUGCGUGGUACUUUGAUUAACUAUGAUAAAUGAGCUUGAAGGACAUAUGGUUCCUACUGGGCAUGAAAUGCUCACACCCUAAUAGGGUGACCUAUUAGCUAUUGCAGGUACCAUUAUGGAAGAACAUGAGGAUGACCUGUCUCUAAAUGAAUAGUCAUAUCAUAUGUGUGCUGGUUUCCUAGUUGUGCUUAAAAUAAAGCGUCCUAGUAUCUGAAGAGUGUGUUGUAAGAGUUGAUGUUAUACCCACCCUUAAUUUAGAUUGUAUUUUCACUAAGUUUGAUUUUAUCUUGUUUUUAAGAUUGUUUUUGGGUCUUAAUAGGUGUGCCAAGGGGCCCACCUUUGUUUGUUGUCCCCCCGAGUCCAAGCCCUUCAUCUCUCUCUCUCGGUCUCUCUUUCCCUCCCUCACUCUCUCUUCCUUUUUCCUCUUUUUCCCUCGAGGCUCUCUCUCUCUAUUCUCUCCUCUUCCCGUCGAAUACGCACACACACUCAGUCACCAACCACAACCCGUACCACCUGAGCGUGGUGACGUUGAAAUCAGGACCUGAAGGAGUGAUACUCCAACAGUGGCAGUGCCACUGUGCAUCUUCGUCCCUAAACAAACUCCGGCGAGUUUGAUAUGGGUAAGCUCCGAUAACACUCUAAACCUCCCCUUUUUUAUCCUCAUAAUUCAUUUCUGAUUGUAUCUAUGUGUUUUGGUCGUCGAAACUAGGAAGAAACACAUCGGGGAGACUUCCCCGGAUUCCUGGGAGGAAUCCGUCACUUUCGAGGCACUUUUUGGCCAAACCAUGGUGAGUUGGCCGGCGUAAAAGGUAUCAAUCUCUUCGUCACUGAGUACUACAACUUUCCUUUUUGUUUCACCCAAUUUCGUUGAGUAUUGAAGACGUUAUAUCCAUUUGAAUCUUACCCAAUUUCCGGCGACCUCAGUGGUUUCGAGGAGUUUUCUGGCCAAACAACGGUGAGUUAGACGUCAUGUGAGGUACCAUUCUCUUCCUCUCUUUGAGAACUACAACUUUUGUUUUUGAAUCACUCAAUUUCGUUGAGUUUUGAUAAAGUUAUGGUCGUUUAAAGUUGGUGUGGAUUUCUGGCCGAAUUUUGGCCUUCUUCAUCCUUGGGUCCGGUGACCCACCAAACCCAGGCCCUUUGGGCCUUUCUUGCCGAGCCCAACCCAAAACCCAUUUCAGUUUUAUUAUUUAUUUUAUUAAUUGUUUUAAGUUAAAGGCCUUGGGGCCAAAUUAGCUAAGGCCCUAAACCUUUUUAUCUAGAAACCCAAAACCUUUAGGCCUAAGGCCUUCGGGCCUUUUGAACCAGGGCCCUAAGCCCUCUCCUCUAAACCUAGCCCACCUAAUUAGCUAAACCCAAACCUUUUAUGUGGAAUAUUCUAAGGAUAUUUUGUUGACAUUUCACGAAAUUUAUCCAAGACCCUUCUUAGGGUAAUUCGACGUUCUAAAUCCGUUUCCAAUGUCCGUUUUCCCAAAUUCAAUUUCUAUUAUAAAGUUUUAUUAAUUUGGCCCUUUAUGUGCUUAGGGGCAAUUAUAGUGGCAUUUCUGUCUUCGCUAGUUGCGUGGCUCUUCGGCGGCGAAGUACUGUGAGUGGACCCCUUCUAAAAAUGCAUGUUUUAAUUAUAGAAAUGCAUACAUGAAAAGCAUGAUUUGAUGAUUACGUUUUAUGAAACGUUUUGUGAGAUAACAUGUUUAUUGAAGUUAUUUGAAUUAUUACUAUUUUUCCUAUAACCCAUGUUCUUAUAGAAUAUCCGAUGGAUGACGAUAUGAUAUUUAGAACAUGUUUCGAACACCUCUUUAUGGUAUAGAUGAUGGAUGACUUUAUACUAUGAAGUUGGUUUUCAAUAUAUAUAUGUUCAAUGGUUUUGUAUUUACCUAGUGGUCCUUUCCGCUACAGGACGAAGGGAUAGAUUCAGGUCCGUCCUGAGUGACGGUUUGGUGUUGGCAUAUGGCAUGGAGUGUGUUUGCUCUGGCUAUUUAGCACAGGGACGGGGAGCCAGCAUGGGGCCUGAAGUGUAUUUUCCUCUGACUGUCUGCUCAGAGACGGGGAGCCGGCAUGGAGCCUGAGAGUUAUCGGACAAUUCACUAGUGAUUAUUAUAUAUACAAGUUAUGGUUUGAGACUUUCACGGCAUGCUAGGUUUCGGAAAACUUAUGUCUAUCAUGAUAUAUAUGUGUUUUAUAAAACCUAGGGGUUAGUAUGUUGAUAACUGUUUUAUUUUAUAUAUAUAUAUAUAUAUAUAUAUAUAUAUCAACUUGGUCCACUCAUGUUUGUUUUGCGCCCCCUUCAGGAUUUAGAAUCGAGGUAUACAAUCCCGACGUCCAGGCAUUUCCGCAUCGGCAUCUUCGAGUCCUCUCGGUGUAGGAUCCAUCCUUUGUUUCAUUCAAUUUUAUAUUAUUUCUUUUAGUGUUAUAGUUAGUUGUAUGCUCUGAACAUGUUCCUUAAAGGCACAUUAUUCAUUCUCUUAUAUUUACAAGUCUAAGUGAACCUUUAGAUGGUUUUGGUUCUAUCAUACUUUCGUUGUAAUAUUUUAAAUUUUUUUUUUAAUUCUAUUCACGUCCUAAUUCGAUUAUCAUUCUUAUUUUCGAAUUUGGGGUGUGACAAGUAGUGAUUGCCUCAGUUUAUUGUUGGUUUUGGUUAUGGUUGCCUCAGUUUUUUGUUGGUUUCAGUUAUGGUUGGCUGGUUGUAUCGAUGCCUCGAUUAGUGGUUGCCUUGUUUUAUUAUUUGUUUCGGUUAUGGUUGCCUUGGUUGUAUCGAUGCCUUGAUUAGUGGUUGCAUUGGUUUAUUGUUGGUUUCGGUUAUGGUUGUCUCGGUUGUAUUGAUGCCUCGAUUAGUGGUUGUUUUGGUUUAUUGUUGGCUUCAGUUAUGAUUGCCUCAGUUGUAUUGAUGCCUCGAUUAGUUGUUGCCUCUGGUGAGAAUGAAUCUCACAUUGAUAGGGGGAGAAACUUUGCAAAGACUUAUAAGAGGUUGGGUUACUCCUUAUAAUGCCAAUUUGUUUUAUGGUAGAACCUCAACUUCUUCAUGGUAUCAGAGCAGGUUGUCACAUGUGUGAAGUCAAAUGCCCACACUCGCACAUGCGCUCCACGUCACCCUGUUGUAUUGUCCAUGUGUUAGGUUUGAAAAUUCACCACACAUGAGGGGGCAUGUUGUAAAUGAAUCUCACAUUGAUGGGAGAAGACACCUUGUAAAGGUUUCUAAAAGGUUGGGCUACUCCCUAUAUUACCAAUUGGUUUUAUGGUGGAACCUCAACUUCUUCAGCCUCGAUGCAUUGUUGGUUUCAAUUAUGGUUGACUCGGUUUAUUGUUCGUUUUGGUUAUUGUUGCCUCGGCUGUAUUGAUGCCUCAUCAUUAUUGCUUCAGUUAAUUGUUGCCUCACUUUAUUCUUGAAUAGUAUUGUUUCAUUGGUUUAUUGUUGCCUCAAAUUUUCAAGUGUGUUGUUACCUUGGUUCAUGAUUGCCUCACAGUUAUCUUAUGCAUUGCCUCAUUUUCCUUGUUGUUUGGAUAUCCCGACUCAUACUGUCAUAAUCAUUGGACGCAUUGUUACCCAUAGUCGACUUCGUAUAAAUUUUUGCCACUGAUAUUUGAUGACUAUUCAUGGUUGUCUUGAACUCUCAGUGUGCUGGUGUAUUGUCGUAUUGGUUAACUGUUGGCUCAAUAUAUAGUUCUCAUCACUCAAACUUUCGACGGUUAUUUGAUGUUUUGAUACAUGUUUGUCUCGGUUUUUUUUUAUUUCUUGAAUAAUAGUUGCCCUAAGUUUAUUCCUGGUUACACUUUUACAUAUUAGGCCACUAACAUUUCAUACAUAUUUCAAUUUGUUUUAAGGCAUGGAUACUAUGGAUUCAAGAUAAACCACUAGAACUGAUCGAUAAGACGUUUUGUGAUUCGUGCAACAUAUCUGAAGUGAUAAGGUGUCUUCAUGUGCGGCUGUUAUGUGUGCAAAGAGUACCUGAGGAUAGACCAAGCAUGUCAUCUGUGGUUCUGAUGUUGAGCAGUGAUGUUGCCUUGCCACCUCCAAAGCAGCAUGGUUUCUACACUGAACGAAGUGUCCCUGAAUCACCAUCAAGGACGCUUCUAUGUUCAGAGAAUACUUUCAGCACUACGUUGAUAGAACCUCGGUAGAUCAUCAUUGCGGUGCUUGUUAUUCCUUCAAUCUACCAUCACAAAAUGUUUUUGGUAGGUUGACGUGAAGCUUAUAGCCUUGGCUGGGAAACAAUGAGACCUGCGACUGUAACUCUGCAAGAAAAAUAUUUAUGAUUACCAGUUUAUCAGUUCCUAAAUCAGAACAAAGAAAGGACUUGGGGUUGUUAGGUGGUUGAAGAAAUUUAAGUUAUAGCUAUAGUUGUGUUUAUUAUUUUUUGAUUUUAUUUUAUUAUUUCAUGAUAAGAUAAAAUUUAUUGAGAAGGAAAAUAGAUCCUGCACUUAGGUCUGGUUCGGGUAUUUGAUCAAGUCGCCGGAAUUAACACUCUAAGCCUGGUUCGAGAUAGGUGCUUGUCAUUUAAGUUUCUUUGGCAAUCCUCUAUUGGUAGAAAAACUUCAGUGCAGGCAUUUGGACCACGUGACCAUCUUCCCGCAAACACAAACAUCACACUAAAAUGAGGCAGCCGUACUGAAGUUUUUCUCCACCGUCUAUUUGAGCAUUGUCAACGCCUGUUCGGUCUGCCCAUUAUUCAAGCACCCACCAAUAACAACAUUCCAUGAAGCACCAUCCAAUUUAACAUCUAUCCUUCUCAUCCUACAAAUUAAAGUUACACCUUUUUUUUUUUUUUUUUUUUUUUUAUCUUUUGAAGCAAGCAAAAAAUGUAUUAAAAGGAAAACCCCCGAGAACAACUGAAGAGCAUGAAGAGCAAAUGAAGGAAUACGGGGUGAUCCCAAAUAUGACAAUCAGUAAUAAGAAGGCCUUGGUGAGCGAAGACAUCCACCACAAAGUUAGCCUCUCUAAAAAUAUGUUUCCAAUCAAUGCAAGCAAAUUUGGUCGCCAUCCACUUGAUAUCUUCAAUAAUAGGAACCAUAUUCCACAGCGUCGCACCCCGGUCCAACACUGACUGAAUGACCAACUUAGAGUCUCGUUCUACCAUAAUCUUUGUAUAGCCCUUCCUUUGAGCAUAAAGAAGGCCCUCUUUGAGAGCCCUAGCCUCCACUUUAGAAAUAGUGGCACCAUCAAUAUUUAAAGUUCCACCGCCGAUGAGCUGCCCAAUAUGAUUCCUUAAGACAAAUCCCGCCGCAGCCUUGUCCCCAGCCACUGAGCCAUCAAAAUUUAGCUUAACAUAUGUCACGCCCCGAACCCAACAUACGUCCAGGAUCGACGCGUGACGUUAUCCAGCAUCCGUAUAUCUAACAAAUCCCACCUCCGAUAUAUUUACAAGGCAUAACUCAAGAUCCAACUGCGUAAUAAUUUUUUUUUCGUAAGCUUUAUGACUGCAUCUAACCUCCUCGUUAGACUACCUACGUACCCUAAUCAGGGAUCAAACCAUUCGUAGUUCAUCAAUCACUACCCAUCUACAUUUACCAAUGUACAUUCCAGCCGAAAGAUAUAACAUUCCUCAAUCAAUCAUUAGAACUUGACAAGUAUGGAAGUACUAGAUUCAAGGCUACAUAACAAUCCAAUAUGACAAUCAAGGUUUCCAUUCCACCCAUCAUAUAAGUCACUAUGUUUCAACAUGAAACCUUAAUCCACCACAUGUAAUGUAUCCAAGAACCAACAAAGCACAAUAUUAUUCUCAAGCCAUUUCGAGUAACGAGACUAAUCAUAAUAAUAACAAUCAUAUCCCACAUCAUUCCGCAAUCGUUCUACUUAAUCAAUCCUAAAAUCAUAGAUGCAUGAUAUCUACAAUUACUAUGCUAUUCAAUCAAUAAGGUCCCAUAUCAAUUCACAAAUUUUAAUAAAGGAUCCCUACAUAAUUCCCCACCUGGAUUUCAAGUACUAACAUGAUAAGUCUAAUCUAUACACAAUGUCUACUGUGAACAAUUCAUAUUCACUCGACUCUAAGGUCAGACUACCUUUACGGAAAUGAGCAAGAGUAGGGAUUCUAUACCACUCAACAAAAUCCAACCAAAAUACUAAGCGACCUCUUGUAAUCUCUUCAGACUUGACAUAUGUACAAUCAGUGCCUACAACAUGGGAAUGGUAUUGGCAUCAAGAAUUCAGAUAAGCUACAAAGAUCAGGUGAGUGACAAUAAUACAAGGAUGUGAUAAUAAUGAUAAAGCCAACCAUUAAUAACAGUUUACAUCUCUUUAAUAUAAAUCAUUCAUAAAGAAUCAAUACCAAGCCUUUGCAACUCCGAAUGAGUCACCCAGACAUCCAACGGUUCGUCUGAAACAAAUCACAACAGCUCACAAUCAUAAUCUCAUACAACACAAUGAAAAGUAGGGUUAGGGUGACACAGUUCAGUCGAAGUCUACAUCUCCGAAGCUAUCUCAAUCCAAAAUUUAUAACCCCAAGGUGAACACGAUCCUAGACCAUCUCUCAACGGAAUCGCGAAGUAGAAGGGGUUCCGGACCACUCAACUAAACCGAGCAUAAGUCCAACAAAUAUAGCAAUGCUCAAAGAAGAAAACAUGAAACAAGUACUCAAAAUACAAAAGCUCAAUGAAACAAGAAAUGAAAUAAUGAUACGAUAUGUGAAAUAAGUCUCGAAGUAACAAACCCCAUGACAAUGGGUUCAUAGUCCACUCAUAACCCUCACAUUUCAUCACAUCAGGCCAAUCAUGCAAAUCAAAUCUCAUUUCAAAUAUGCACAUCAAAUUACUUUCCAUCGAACAAUUCAUCAAGCACUUCAAAUCACAUUUCAUAGAUAUCAUCCAUACACAAGUCAAAUCACGACUAAUAAACAUAGAUCAAUGACUAAUCACAUUUCAAUAGAUUCACAUUAUAUAAUCAAGUGAUAUCCACUCAAAAUAUAAUCGCCUAUCGAAUGUACCAAGUACAACUAAUCCUUAUCACCCCCAGAAUGCGUAAGGUCCCCAAUCGCGGAUAUACCAAGCGGGAUCAUAUAUACUUUCUCUUAAAACCAAUUCCCUUCUUUGAACAUAUUAACCUAAUCUGUGCAAGUAGUAUUGGCCUAUUGGGAAAUUAGAAAUCCAUGAGUGAAUCAUAAUUCUCAAACCAUUUAAAUCAAGUGUAUGUUAUGAACAGAUUAUCACUUUGAUUCAAAAGGAACUAUAAAUGGCAUAGUCAUUUCAACUUUUAUACCAAAGCAGCCCCUUUAGCUUUUGUGUAUAUAAUAGAUAAAAGCAAGCAUCUGCAUAAUACUAGUCUUGAAAAAAAAACGUGGCUAAUAUAUGACAUGCAAUUGACUCCACCCAAUUAAUUAUGUUAUACAAAUAUCCCUUUCAGGUAUUAUACCAAAAUAGGGUUUAGGCAGUUGUGUAUAAAACUAGCUUUGUAUCAUAUAUCAUAUAAAAAACUUGCACAUACAACAACUGCAUAUAAAACUAAUUUCCCAUAAUAGCAUCCAAUAAUGACCAUAAAAGAAAUUUAGAGUAUCAGAGAAUAAUUACCAAAGCUUUCCACCCAUUGGAUAACACAAAUGAAAUCAUGUUUAUUUCAUGAUUCAAACCCACCUUCUGAGACCCUCUUCUUUCUUUUCUCAUCCCUGCCUUCUCUGUUACCCUCUCUCCUUCCUUUCAGUUCUUGUUGUCCCGUGUCUCCACUUAUACAAUUGGAUUUAAGCUGGGGUGGUAGAGUUGGUUUAUACCAUAGGGAGAUGAGGUUCAUAGAUAGAGGAAAGCAAGAUGUCAUGGUGAUCAAUCGUGAGAUGAAUUUGAAAGAGGUGGUGGGAAGUGACGACCUCCUUCCCUCUCCAACCCCCUUCUAAAAAAAAUGAGAUACAGAGGGAGGAGAGGGUGCUCUAGAGUCUUCCCCCUUCUCUCUCUAAUUUUUUUUUGCCCAAUUCCACUUAUAAUAUCCGGUCCCUUUAAUCCCAAUAAAUGUUGGGCCUUUUAGCCAUAAGUUGAAAUUAAAAUAAUUCCCACAAUUUAUAGUUUCACAAUUUCAAACGUCUGUAACUAUACCGUUAUAACUCGGACUCGCAAACGCCCUUUGCCUAUGGGCUCGUGGCUUCGAGACUUAUUCGAAAACAUUACUUGUGACCUCAAAAGGUCAACGAAUUUUAAAUAAUUAUUUUCCAAACUUCACUCUUCGUAACUAGUUUAAUUAAAAUCUAAAUCCAAACGAUUUAAAAUAAAUUCUCUAGAAAUAAUAUAAAAUCUCAAUAGUACAAAUACGUAGAUUAUACCAAUGAAAUCCAGGAACGGGAUUUCACAACAUAACUUUGAUCCGGAGGGUGCCAUUUAAUAAUCCUGGAAAUAUCUUCAGUAUUUCUAUUUAAACCCUUACAAUUGGCUUUAAGAUAUCGCUUACCCAUGGACAUAGCUGACCCAUAGACAUAGCCAGCAAAAGUUACACCCUUUUUUGGUAUCUCUGUUCGAAAAAUACGCAGUUAGAAGUACAUUCCAGGACACGAAAUCUCGUUUAGACAUCAUAUCAAAUACCAACUGAGCUUGUUUAAUGCUCAGACAACUAGCAUAGAUAUUUACAAGGGCGCUGCUAACGAAAACAUUCUCUUCCAUUCCAUGUCUGACCACAAACCCAUGAAUCAGACUUCCCAAAUUCAAAUCUUUCAACUCCGAGCAAGCAGGUAGGAUUGAAGAAACUGUUACCACAUUGGGUCUCACUCCAUUCAACCCCAUCUCGUGAAAUGCCUCCAAACCUUGUCUAGGCAUCCCACAGUUAACAUAACAAGAACAAAAAGAGGUCCAAGAUACCACAUCUUUCACAGCCAUGGCAUCGAAAACCAGUCUCGCCAGAUCAACAUAUUUACAUUUUCCAAACAUAUCGACCAUUGCAUUGCCCAAAGAGACAUCCAAAUGAAACCCAAAUCCAAUUGCAUCAUCGUGAAGCUGUUUAGCAUUUCAAAUAUCACCAAGAGCAGCACACGCCUUAGCAACUGACAAAAGCAGAAGAUUAUCGGGCACAACGGGCCGAAAUCUGAGCGAAGCGUAAAGAUUUAUGGAUUCCUUGAGGAACCCAUGUCGUGUGUAGCCUGAUAUGAGCAUGGUCCACGCACGCAGGUCUUGUUCGGGAAUUUGAUCGAACAGGCGGCGUACACAUUGCAAAUCGCUGGAAUCACAGUAGAUUUUCAAGAAGCUAAGGCUCAGGCUCAGGUGAGGCGGGACGUUGGUGUGUAGUUUUGAAAGCAUGUCGUCUAUAUAUAUAAAGGGAGAGGGCCAGUUUCGUGAAACAUUUGAAAAUACCAAGAAAGCCCCUUUGUUUUCUUCAUAAUCCAAAUUCAGAAAAAUCGUAAAAUGAGGACAAAUUGAUAAAAACACCAUAACUGAACAGAAAACAAAUAAAUAAAAAAAAAUCUAUAACAGAUGUGCUUAACCAUUAACCCUCACAAACUGCUGGGCAGUUUAAAAACAGAAAUUACGAAAAGAAAAAAAGAAAAAAGAUAUCUUUACCAUAUAUGUAAAAAAGAAAUAUAAAAAAGGUUACAGUAGAUAGAAAAUAUAAAAAUAAAAAUAAAGCAAAUCCAAAAAAUAUUGGAAAGGAAAACAGAAAAUUAAAAAAAAGAAGAAAAACAACCCGCAUACCUCUCAAACUGCUAAGUAGAGUAAUGGGCAGUUUUCUCCCCCAAAGAUUUCCACGCUAUGAGUUUGGUGGGAGGUUGAAUACUAACCACCUGCAUACCACCAGUAUUUAGAGAUGAGUAAUCGGAAGGAGGCUAAUUUUGGUUUUCAGGAGUUUGCUGUGCGGUUUCAGUUCAUUCCAAACAAAAAAGGAUCGACAAACUCAGUGACAGAAAUUAGUAAAACAUUUGAGCUUUCAGAACAAAGGCAUGUCCGAAAAUCGAAAAAUUUCAUCGGCGUGAUGAUGGUGGCGGGCAGAGCAAAGGGCAAAUAAUAAGGAUUUUUGUCGAGAGGGUUAUCGCAUUGCGCUAAUGGUUUCUCUGAGUUCCGACCUCAAUGACCUUUUUUCUUUUCUUCAGUAAUCACUUACUGUACUAUACAUGCUAAUUAAAAAAAUUAUUUGUUUUUAUUCUUAGGAUAUUUACAAGAAUACUCACAAGAAAUGAAGAAGGAACUACCUAUUGAUAAGAUUCCAAAUAGACGUGUUUCUAUUUUUACACCUGGUUGGGAGAUAUCCGUUGGAGUAAAAACUACUGAUCUAAGCCAACUGAUUCUCAAAGAGUGGAAAAAAAAGAAGCAUGAGCAGUAUGUAUUCUAAAUUUUUUAUUAAAUUUGUUAUAAGAAAUCUAACAUUAUAUAUACUUUUAAUAUAUAGGUGGCGUAUGAAAAAGGCGGUAGAAGAAUUAAAACCUUCAACAACUCCUCACAUCAUACGCAUUUGGAAUAAAGUCCAAAAAAUUAGGUACAACACCAUUUCUUACCUAUUUACGUUUAAUUGCAUUCUCCAUAUCAUUCUACAAAUUAAUUAUCAAAUUUAAAAAAAAUUUAGAAAACAAUUUAUGGGUGCAGAAAAAAGAUUAAUAGUGAUCAAACAACUUUUCUAAAUACGGUAACUCUUCUCUUAUUUUCAUAUGAAUGUAUACUAUGAAUUCAAAUUGCAUUCAAUUUUCAAAUAGAAAUAAAAUUGCAUUUUUCUAUCAGUUUUACAAGCAUCACACCCGUCUCAAAGUACAAAGGUUGAAGUACAAGAUUAAGGUAACAUUUCUUACUAUUUAAUUUUGUAAACAUGAUUACAAUUAGUUACUUCAAACUUGACAAUUUAUUUAUCUUUCAGUAUUCUAAAAGUAACUGGAGUAAAAGUAUUGCUAUGGGAAAAUUAUCGAAGUUAAAGGUAUUUAGGUUAAAUUGCUUACAAUCUUUAUAUUUGGGAUUGUGCAUUAUAAUGCAUUAUUCACAUCUUAAUCAAUUAGACUUCUUAAUUUAUCAUCAUUGCUUGCAGAUUAACCAUGAAAAUCUAAAGCAUCAAGUGCAAGCAAACGGAUGGCAAGCAUGGCGGAAGGACGAAAAACUUGACAACUAGAUAUUCAAUAUUCGUGAAAUCAAGAAUGUCUUUAUUCGUGAAGUCAAGCAUUAACUAGAUAUUCAUUAUGUAAAACUAAAUUAUUGCUCCUAUCAGUUGUGUCCAUUCUUGAUUUGAUGAAAUCCACUUUAUUUAUUUUUCUUCGUAUUCCUACACAAACCCAAAAAAGAAAGAGAACGCAAUAUUUUUUUUUUUGACAAAAGAAAAGAUAACAUGGGGAAAAAAUAUAUGCAAUAACAGUAACUUGCAUAUUAAUAUCAAUACAGAGAAGAGCUACUUAAUGUUUUUAUCUACUCUUUUUUUAUUUACAUCUACUUACCAUUGUUCAUGAACUUUAGAUAGGAACUUGCAUCCAAAUAUCUCAUGUUGUUUGACAAUUGCAUGAAUAACAUUUAAAACAUUACUUUACGCAAAGUGAAAACAAAAAACUUGACAACAUUUUAGGACAUGCCUGAUAAAGAAAAAGUUCAUCUUUGCACAAUACAAUUAAAAUAUAUCUUGACAAUUACAAUGAAAAAGAAUAACACAAUACACUUUUAGGGCCGCGUAGCGCCCGUGAUGCAAAAAUGCCUCUCGCACGCACGCUAGUGCGUGCGGAGAGGCUAAUAUAUUGUUUAAAUGGCUUUUGCAUCUUGUAAUAUGCAGGGACAAGCUUCGAGUUUUGCAAGUGCUUUUGAAAAGCAGUUGAGAAGUACCGUUUCUUGGCGCCAGGGCAUGUAAUAGCGGACGAUGUGUCUAGGCUUGAAACGACAUGCCCCGUAUGUUUAUUAGCUUUAUUUUAGGCAUGGAACAUUCCACCUCGUUGCAUUUUAUUUUUGUUCUUUUUCUAUUUUGUAAGACUUUGUAAUGGCUAAAGCUUAAUGAACUUGAGAUUGGGAUGCUUUCCUUUUCGUCCUGCAAUAUUUGCAUCAUGAUUCGAAUAAUUUAUUUUUUAGUUUAUUUAUUUGAAAAUCAUCUUUAUAAAAAAUUAAUUAAAUAAAAAAUAGUUUGGUUGUCCAAUUAAUAUUGUUGACCACAGCAAAUGCCCUAGUAGUAAGGGAAUUACAGCAAAUGCCCUAGUAGUAAGGGAAUUACAGCAAAUGCCCUAGUAGUAAGGGUCAGGUGAGGCGGGAAGUUGGUGGGUAGCUUUGAAAGCAUGUGAUAUUAUUGUUUUAAUGGCUUUUGCAUCUUGGAAUCUGCAGGGAGCACUACAAGAAAAAUGGGCUAAGAACACAAUUCAUUUGUGCCCUUUUCAUUAUCAUUGAGCACAAAUACAUAUAUGUGCUUUUUAAAUAUCAAUGAGCACCAAAACCAUCUCAAAUGUGCCCUCUAAACAAAGGGCACAUUGGUUGGUGUCCUGCAUUUGUGCCCAUUAAAAUGUUUGCACCAAAAUUUGUGUCACUGUUUAUAAAUAUCAGUAAUCAUAAUUUUUUAUUAAUUUACGUACACACAUAAAUAAUUUUUGUGCCCUUUGAUUUAGUAUAUUUAAAUUAUUUAAUUUUAUACACAUAAGUAUCUUGUCUUACUUCAACAAUCUGAAGACAAAAUCUUAUUUUAAUAUAUUUUUAUUGAUCAAAACCCACCAUACACUCCCUUUCUUUGACUUUACUGUCUCAUCUCUCUCUCCGUCUCUCUCAUUUCUCUUUUCCUGUCUCCCAUCUUUCCUUCUCUUUUACUUUCCUUAUCUCUCUCUUUCAUCUCUGCUUCCCCAGAUUAAGUCCAACCACCCUAUAUAUAUUUUUAUAGAUGUAUGAUUUGGUUAUUCAUUUUUGUAUGAUUAUGUGGAACUCGUUGGAAAACAAAUAAGAUGGUGGGUAAUUUCGUCUUUUGUGGGGCUUUCGAGUUCAAGACACUUGGUGGUAAAUAUUAUAUUUUAUUUAAAUACACUGUCACAGUUUCAACCACGAGCUAUGGCCGUUGUCUAAUAUGAUGCAACCACGGAUUGUGCCCAUGAUAGAUUGAAAUCUAACACCACGUGACCACAAACAAUGCCCGUUAUAAAACAAUUCCCAAAAAUUUAAAAAAAAAAAUAUUCAAUAAAAAUUAUAAAUAUAUAAUAUUUAUAUACAAAUUGCAUAUUUACUGCAAUAUAAUGAUUACGUAAAAAACCACAUAUUCAAAAUACAAAUAUUACAAGUUGUACACUAAAACUAACAACAAAACCAAUGAGUUAUACUAAGUGCCAAAUAUACCUCUAAUAACAAAGACAUUGUUAAUUGAAGACUACACAUUUCUUUGAACACUUUCGAACAAAAGACUUGAGAGUGAAAUACUGCCUCUAAUGCUUGAGCUUCAGAAAUUGGUGCCUCUCUCUAUCCAUCUGUAUAGACAUAAGCAUAUGGAUGAAAAUAGUGAAUAGAUAAACAAAACUUGAAGCUAAAUUAACAAGUAAAAAUUUAAAUAGACGAAUCUCUAAUGGUGCACACAUGACGCCAAAAAAUUAAUCAAUAAAAACUUGAACAUUUAUACAGAACUAACCUCAACAAGAUUAUGUAGUGCAAAAUUAGCAUUGCAUUACAGAGAAUGGAUCAAAUGUAGCCAAGAACUUAAAUUACAAUCAUCAAAUUUCUAAGAUAUUCUUCCUAUCCGCUCCACCUCUAAAGCUAGCAUUUCUUCAUUGCUCCGUUCCAUCUCCCAAUUGACCGAAGUCACUAGCUCAUGAUCAAUCGCUUACACAUUCAGGUUAUCUUAUGCACAUAGACCAAACACAAUAUAUAAUUACUUGAUUAAAAAAAUGGAAGAAUUGAAAUUUAUAAACAUUAAAACAAUAAAAUAAAAAAGAUGAAGCUUAAUUACCCCAAGUGAAAAGCAACCCAUUUGAUGCAGCAGAGGCGGUGUGCUCCUGGUCGCAAGCAAUGUCCAACCACUGCCAAUUAGUCCUCGCCGUGCACCCAAAAAGCUCCAGAGAACUGCUUCGGGAUCCUCAACCACUGCUCCUUCCCAUUCCGACCGGUCUGCUCAAACUUGCAAUAUCCCCACACGUAAAUCGCCAUCUUCAUCGGAAUGCUCACCGGCCGGUUGCGACCCAGAAGCUCAUCAAUGUCAAUUUCCAUAAAUUCCCUUCACAUACUGAACCACAAAGUUGCAAGUCAACAAAUUUGACAAAAAAAUUAACAAAUCUUAAUCCAAUUGAAGGAGAAAGUUGGGAGCUUCACAAAAUGGGUUCUCUAUUUGGUUACCUGGGAAAUGGAAUAGUGGUGAACUGGGAAUUUGUCGGCAGCCAAACAGAGGAGAGAGAGAGAGAGAGAGAGAGAGAGAGUGGCGGAGAUACCUGAGGACUCAAAGUGGACGAGGAAGAAAACUGAAAAAUGGUUGUCGUUGGUGAAAUGUUAAGAGAGAGAGAGAGAGAGAGAUCUCCUGAGGACUCAAAGUGGACGAGGAAGAAAACUGAAAAAUGGUUGUUGUUGGUGAAAUGUUAAGAGAGAGAGAGAGAGAGAGAGAGAGAGGAGAGUGACAAAGGUCGGUUUAAUUUCUCACGAUUUGAGGAGGGGGAGUUUUGCAGUUACUAGCUGAUGGGAUGAGAUAAACCAAUAAAUGAAAUUUGAACCUCCUUUAUAUUUUGAAAAGCAUGUGGGAGUGUUGUGAAAUUUUCAAAUUUAAAAGAUGUUUGAAGUUUUACAAAAUUCUUGUCCCACCUCCUCUAGAUUUUUUAGUUAAGUGUGUGUGAUUCCAUCACAUAUUAUGUCUGUGAUAGAUAACAAAAAGACGAUGUGGAUGUUAAUAAUAUUAACCACAAGCAUUGUCCGUGAUGGUUUUAGUAUAUUUAUAACGUUCAAUUUUGCGCGUGGUCAUUUGCUGUUAUUUUACAACGAGCUAAGAUUUGUCUGUGAUAAAAAAAUUGUUAUUACUAUGUGCUUAUUAUGCCCAUGGUAAAUUUGUACUUUUUAUAACACGCUCAUAAAGUCCGUGGUAAAAUUGUCGUGGUUGAUGAACUAUUAUGUUGUAGCUUAUCGUAAUGAACGCGUUGUCACAAAUGGAUAUGAAUUCGAAGUUAAAACAAUAAGUUACGAAUUUUUAAAGUUAGAAGGCAAAAUGGUAAUUUUGGGACUGAGAGUAUUUUAGAAGCCAAAGGCUUCUCCCAUUUUACUUUCCCAGCAGGCAGCUGCACCACCCACGUGGGUCUUCACCCUUCCCAUGUAUAUAUAAUUAUUUGUUGAGUAUUAAUCCAACAGUCUUUUCGUCUCCCUCAUGGUUAUGUAUAUAAUUAUUUUAUUAAUUUUCUAAUGGGUUUUUGUGUCCCAUGGGACCCACCCACGUGCGUCUUCACCCUUCCCCGUGCUUCUACUCCUCUCUGCACGCCAUCACUCUUUCCGUCUCACUCAUUCACGCAAUCAUCUCUCUCUUUCUCUCUCGACUUCUUCAGACUUUUCUCUGUCAUCUCCCUCACCAUCUCUGUGUGCUCACUACACAAAAAAAUGCAGCAUCCAUCUCUAUCUAACUAGCCACUCCGAUGAACCUUGCCACCACCCAAACACUACACUGCCACCCUUGCUCUCUCACAAUCUUUCUAUCUCUCCCUCUCAGUUUCUUCCUUGACACAGAGAAGCACAUAAGCAAUGACGACAAUGGAGUUGGCAAUCUCCGGUGAGGCAACCACCAGCAUCACCUUCCUCUCCUCACUGGAGACUCCCCAUUACCUUUUGCUUUCUGGAAAUCGAAACCGAUGCGACGAAAUGACAAGCUCCAUUGUGGCUUGACUCCCCGGCGAGAUUUUCCGUCGAAUCCUGUAUGGGUGAGUCUCGAAAACACCUUAGUUAGGUUCUUUAAGUUGUUUAGAGACGUUUUUGUGCACUGCAUGCCUGAUUUGGUUAAGUUUGGAAGCAGUUUCAACUCAAGGGACAAAUUCCCCAGAUUUCCAGUGAGGGCUAUGAUUUUCAGGCUGAUUUUAGGCUAUCACCGGCCACCUAAUGGCCCUGAAGAAGGUAAAUUUUGAAUACUUACCUUUGUAGCUUUGUUUUAGCUUUGAAUUGUUGAAAAUGGUUGUGUUUUAGACCAAAAUAGACUUUGAAACCCCUGGCGUGGUUGCAGGUCGCAUUGUUGCUGCUUGUGGUACUGUUGUGGAUGGCACGUGGAGCACAGGCACCUCCACUGGAAGGAUGACUGCCUUUCAAGGAUGAAUAUACAUUUUCAAAUGUUUGUUUCAGAUUGUAGGGUAUUUCGAAUUUGUUAUUUUUAUUUUAUUUUUUUUUAAUUUAAUUGAUAGGGCACAAUUACAAAAAUUGUGGUAACAUGAAUCUGAAAUGGCAUCUGACACAAGUGUCAGAACAGGGCACAAUAAAAACCUUAUUUGUGCUCAACUCUUUGAGCACACAUAGCCUUAUCGUGCCCUCUAAUCAAUGGUGACGCCCAUAGAGGGCACAUACUUAAAUAUAGUAGUUGCAUUGUUGCUAUUGGUCUAUGGGCACAAUUGUUGGUGCUCUUUGGUCUUAAAUGGCACAUAUAAUUUAUUGUGUGCAGUGCCCAUAUUUUUUUGUAGUGGAGAAGCUUCUAGUUAGCAAGUGAUUUUGAAAAGCAGUUGAGAAGUACCGUUUCUUCGUGCCAGGACAGGUAAUAAGCGACAAUGACUCUCUGUAGGCAUGAAACGACAUGCUCCGUGUGUUUAUUAGCUUUAUUUCAGGCAGGGAACGAUAUUCCAUCCGAAUGCAUUUUAUAUUGAUUUGUUUGUUCUUUUCCUUUUUUGUAAGACUUUGUAAUAGCCAAAUAAAAAAUAGUUUGUUUUUUCGUUUACCUUGUUAAAAUUUCAGUGUAUAAUAAAUAUUAUAGUUCGUUUAUUUAUUAGAUAAUUGUUAAAUAACUAAACGAUCUUAGAGUUUGUUGAGUUUUAGCAAAUGAGAAAUGCCAAAAAUACUUUUAAAAGUGGAACUCUUCAUAGAAUUUAAAGAAAACUAAUGAAAAUAACUUGAAAAACCUCAUAUUUUUUAGACAAUGUUAUAUAAUAUUGGCAUGAGAAUUAAAAAGUGACUUAAAAAAUCAUUGCGCAACAUUGCAGGAUGAAAAAAGAGUGACUACUAUAGAAUAAAAAUUCAAAUACAAAGAUUGCCAGCAUUCAUUUUUAAAAAUUUGAACACGUUUCUCUUUGAGAUUUGAACGCGUAACCUCCCAAAUAAAAUGAAAACAAGAUGCAAUCAAAUAAUGAUUUGCAUAACCCUAUGGAUGGUCAUUUACUUAUGACACGUAAAAGUUUGACAUGUGUACAAAUAUAUUAUUUAUUUAUUUUCUCAAAUACAGACACAUUUUUUUUCAUUCAAUUACAAACACAUUUAAUGAAUAAACUUGGUACAAAAAGUUGGUUCCCUUCACCCAAUGAUUUGAUUUUCUCGCUAAUACUUGCCAUCAUAUUUGAGGUAGGUUUUAUUAGCUAAUGCUUGAAUUCCAUAUAAGAUUUGACAUGCUUGAUGGGUAUUUUGUUUCUUUUGAAGAUGAAAGUUUUGCUUUUGUUUGUCUCCCUUAAAAUUCGAGGACUAAAAAUUUAACGGUAAUUUCCGCUAACUGAUAUCAAGUGAAUUAUUGUUUCAUGACAGCUGGGAGAGAGGCAUUUAUCAUAUGAAUUUCUUUGGCAAUCCACCAUUGGACAAGUGAUCACUGUUAUUAUCAGCUGUCAAUUUAGUUGGGUCUUGGGUUAAUUAAGAUACCCAAGUCCUUUGAUUUUUCUUUGGGUCAAUGGUCCAUCUUCUCUGCAUGAUUUUUGUAUUAAUUUCUUUGGACAAAGUGUACAAUCUCAGAACAACCAUGCAAUCAUGCAAAGCCUUGAGAAGCUUUUUUAUGUGCUUGUUCUUCUUAUUCUCCCUUCUAAGAAUCUCAGCUGCAACUGCACUGGGCACAAUCACUCCGAGUCAAUAUAUAAGAGAUGGUGAAACUCUGGUUUCAGUAGGUGGAAGCUAUGAACUGGGAUUCUUCAGCCCUGGUAAAUCAAAAAGCCGGUACUUGGGAAUAUGGUACAAUUUUUCUACUGAUGCAAUUGUGUGGGUAGCCAACAGAGAAACACCACUUGGUGAUUAUUCGGGACUUCUGAAGCUCACCAAGCAAGGAGUUCUGGUCCUCCUCAAUAGCUCAAACAGCAUUGUGUGGUCAUCGAAGGCUUCAAGAAUCGUGGGGAAUCCAGUGUCGCAACUCUUGGAUUCUGGAAAUCUUGUGGUGCAAGAUGCAAACGAAACUAACCCGGAUGACUUCUUGUGGCAGAGUUUUGAUUAUCCUUGUGACACACACCUACCGAAAAUGAAGAUUGGUUGGGACUUGGUUACUGGUUUAGAUAGAUCUCUCUCGUCUUGGAAGAGCACAGAAGAUCCUGCUCCAGGAGAGUUUUUGAUACGAAUGGAUUAUCGUGGCUUACCACAACUUCUUCUUAUGAAAGGAGCUAAGAUACUGGCUAGACCAGGGUCAUGGAAUGGCCUUUAUUUGACAGGACUAGGAUAUCGUUUUAGAGAACCAAAUCCAAUAUCUGCUUUUGAAUUUGUGUUGAACAAGGACGAGGUCUAUUUUCAGUACAGCCUCCGAAGCACGUCAGUGUUCUCGAGAACUGUAUUGAGCCCAUCAGGGGUCGUAGAGCAGUUCACAUGGGUGCACCAAAAACAGAGUUGGGAUCUUCCCGUUACAUUCCUAGCAGAUCGGUGUCAAAGUUAUGCCUUGUGCGGUCCAUUUUCUAGUUGCAGUAUCAAUAACUUUACACUCCGAUAUGUGCAUGCUUUAAGGGAUUUGUACCAAAAUCUUUGAAAGAUUGGAAUUCGGGAUAUUGGUCUGAUGGAUGUGUUCGAAGGACUCCGUUGGCCUGCAGCGAUGGAGAUGGCUUCAUAAAGUACAGUGGGAUGAAAUUGCCAGACACAUCAACCUCGUGGUUUGAUAAAAGCACGAGCCUUAAGGAAUGCAAGGGAUUAUGUUUGGGAAACUGCUCAUGUACUGCGUGUGCAAAUCUGGACAUCAGGGAGGGAGGAAGUGGCUGCGUGCUUUGGUUUGAUAACCUCACCGACAUAAAAGAAUUCACUCCCAACGGUGGUCAAGACCUCUAUAUACGGGUGGCAGCUUCAGAACUAGGUACGUCUUCGACCUUUAUCUGCAGUAUGCAAAGUAGGGUUUAAAUAAGUUAGUGUUAAAAUCACAGUUACUGCAACACGACGAGAUCACAUGAAAAGUCUGUUUUAAAACGGAGAUUUCAGAUCAUGCUAAGAAAAAGAGCAAUUUCAACAAGAGACGGCUACUAGCAAUUCUCCUCAGCUCUGCAGUUUUUCUCAUGGGAUUGCUUGUUGGAAUGAUAUUGUACGUACAGAAGAAGAAACUCAGAAAUGAAGGUAACUAUUUUCGGACACAUUAAAAAUGCAUUAGAUAAGGUAGUUAGUAUUUAACUAGCGAUGGUGCCCGCACGAUGCUGCGAGUUUUUAAACCAUAUAAAACAUAUCAAAAGUUCCACGUAUAUGUACGAUAUGCAAUAUUUAUGCAUGUGAUUCAUGUCUUCUUAACCAUUAACAAAACAAACUGAAAAAAUGAAAGUAAAAAACUACACUUAAGUAUAAAUCAAUGUAUUAAAAGCGUGAGGCGUGGGCGAGGCUUCCGAGGGAUAGCCUAGCCUAGCCUAGGCGUGAGGAGUGAGGCAAAGCCUCACGGGACCUAAAUUUUUUAAUAUAUACACUGAGUGUACACAUAUAUUAUAUUAAAAAAAGAUUAUUAAUCAAUAAUCACACUGAGUACACACAUAUAUAUACAUAUUAUAUAUAUAUAUAUGUAAUAGAGGAUGAAAAGCACAAUGAACACACAUAUAACAAUGCACGUAGACAGCACACACAUCCAUUAUAUAAAAAAAUAAAAAUCAGAAAAAUAAGGUGGAGAGGCGAUAAUGCAAGUAAGAGAUAUGAGGCAGUUAUGGGUUUGGGAGUUAAAAAAAAAAAAAAUCCCCUAAGGCGUGCCUAGGCAGCUCCGACGACGCCUUCCGCCCACUCCAGCAAAACAGUGGCGUUAGCCUUCGCGCACAGCCUCAAAGGCACCCUAGGCACGCCCUGAGGCUAGUUUUUUAAAACAUUGGUAUAAAUAUACAUGCGGUUUGCAAAUUCAUUUCUAAGUUCUACAACUGCCACUUAUUCCAAAACAACUACUUACUCAUCCUCUCCUUCCUCUUCCUCUCCCUUCAUAAUCCCUGUCAUUGUCUUUUUGGAUUUUGGCAGCUAAACAUGCUCAUUUUAAUAGUCUCUGCAUCCACAUCAUGAGGACCUUUUUGUACCUGAAGUUGCAGCACAAUAAUAUGAGAAAUCUUGCAAUACAACACUACCAAUUUUAAAGAUCAUAACAUGCAGAGAGACAGUGACAUGAUAAUCUUCCAAACAAACAAUGGGGUUUAAGGAAUGCAUUUCAGAAUACUACAUACCAAAAAUGUUGAUUCCAAGUUGAGCAUAUAGAGAGAAGAAGCUAUCCACAAAGUGUUAACCACCACGUGAUAUUGAAAGAUGGUUUUGACGUAUUGGGUGAUCCAGUAACUAUGCAAGUUAGAAUAAUCUAAGUUUAAAUCCCUAUUAGCACUAAAGCAUUAUCUUUCUGUAUAACUCAUGACUCAAGCUAAUAAAUUUAACAACUACUCUCAGCUCUAAAUCUUAAGAAUAAUCAGAAAUCCAACAACCUUAAAGAUAUUUGACCCUCCCCACAACAUAGAAUUGACGGUUUCCAGACGCAGUAUCAAAUUUAAAAUAGUAUCGCACUAGUAAACCAUUGACUGAUGUACACACACAUAAAUGGGUGGGCUUGUGAGUGUGACAUAACAUUGAUCUAAGUAAACCUCAUAAACCAAAAUCAAAACCAGUAAACCAUUGCUCCAAUUUUCUCAAAACACAAAAAAUAUUCCUGUACUUUGCUCUCAUAAAACCCCACACUAAUCUCAUCUCAUUUAAAACUAUCCUAAUCAGAUAGCCUUAUUGAAAUUUAUUUGGAGAAAUUGAUCAAUUUUCGAAUGGGUGGCCUUAUGAGUGUGUGACAUAACAUUGACCUAAGAAAAAAACCAAAAUCAAAACUAAUUUAGAAAACACCAAAUCAUGUGGCACUGGAAAUGAUAACGAGGGGCAGGCAACCCAGCUCGAAAGGAAUAGGCCUUUACAUUCCUUUUCAAUUUCUUUACCAAAAUAAUUGCAAAUGCAUAUUAAAUAUUCAGCAGUAUUUAAAUCAUAGGUGUAUACGAAAUUCUAAUGAUCAUAACAAUAUAUCUUCGACCAAAACAAUACAUCAUUUCGUCUCAAAAAACAAUACAUUAUUGAUCAUAACAAAGGUUCUAAAUUCUAAUGAAAACUUAUAUCAAAAUUCGAAUUAAGCAGUAUACGUAUUAAACAAUAGCGACAGCACAACAUACAAAAAUGCUCUCAUAAAUGAAUUAAAGAAUUCUAGAUGUUGUGAUGCCUAACUUAGGAUAAGGUCUUGGCGUGGGACUAAUCAACUGAACAAAUGAUCAAUGUUUAGAGGCGCUUACAUGGAUCUCACAUCACAAAAAUUAGAGCAUGCACCAAAAUCCACAACAAAUAUCACAAAAAUUAGAGAAUGCCCCAAAAUUUGAGGCCUAAUUCUCUAUUUCACAGAGGAGAAAAACCAAAAAUAAGGGUAACACAAUCACAAUUCUCUGGUAAUAAAAAUUCAACAAUACAUUAACAAAAUUACUGUAACUGAAUAUACCUCAAAAAGCCAACGGCCCAAUUGCUCCCUCCAACGAUCCAAAUUUCUGAAAUUCACAAACACAGCAAAGCCAUUAGCAAUUUGACAUGCUUAGUACAAUCAAAAUUCACAGGAACAAACAAAGGAUUGAACAAACAAACUUUGCGAGCUAAUUAAAUAUUCACACACACUGUACUUACACACACUGCAUACACACACAAACUGAUUAUAGACACAAAGCACAACAUUCACACACACAAUCACAUAUACACUCACACGCACACCCGCACAUACUGAGUCAUACGUACACACACACAAUUCACACAUACACCGUCAUGAUAAACCACACUGCAUACGCUUACACACUCACACAUUCCCACAUACAAUCCAUGUGUAUUACUUUGCACACAAAAUCUUUAUCACACAUACACUAUGAUGAAAAACCAUUUUGCAGAUUUGACAUCCAUUAUAGCACAAAUUAGGGUUAUGUUCGUAUCUCUUCAAUACUAAUGUAUACAUUUCCACUUUAGCACAAUUUUGAAAUCCAUUCUAGCACGUUACAAAAACUAUUAUCAACAUUUGUGUAUUAAGAGAUAAACUAUAUUCUUAAUCUGGUAUCAAAAUGGUGUUAAUUUGGGUAAAAACAUUUGUGUAUCCUAUAGUUUUUUAGCAAAAAUUUACUAUCCAUUCAUUUGAGUAUUUGCAUUAUCUACAGGAAACACAGUACCUAACCAAUUUCAUCAUCAAAUUCAGCAAUGUAUACAUUUCCCUGGUGAUUUUAGUUUACACUAUUCUUAAUAUAACAUGGUUCUUUCUUUUUAAAGUACUUUGUAUUAAUUCUUUUGUGAACAAUUACUCAAUAGCAUCUGUCAAUACUUCAAACAAAGAAGGAAUCACUCGAUUUACCCUUCUAGAUUGCAUUUCAAGUUAUACACUAUACCUGAAUGAAUUUUCUAGAUUGCAUUUUCUAUAUGAAUUCUGUAUUUAGGUGGUAAACUGUUGGAUAUAACCAAGGUCCUAAUUCCUAAUCACCUUAAUUGAUCAAAGUGGCCAAGAAAAUCUUCUUGCAGUUUGUCUUUGAAAAAAUCCUACUUAGAGUAAAAAUGAACAGUAGUAAGUUAUAGCGAACCAGUAAAUUGAAAUCGACAUACAAAAAAACAAUUUGAUCACUGCACAUAUAACUCCAUAAAUUACUUACCACAUCAACCUUGAGAGGUCCAACAUAUCUAAAAGCCGCAAAAACGUUUCCACUCUAAUCACCUAAAAACACUGAAAAGCAGAGGAGAACAUAUAAAUUUCCUAUGGGUUAGCUUGAGUUGUUUCCAUAAGGUUUGGUGCUAUCCUAGCACAACAGAUUGCAUUUCAAGUUAUACACCAUACCUGAAUGAAUUUUCUAGAUUGCAUUUCCUAUAUGAAUUCUGUAUUUAGGCAGUAAACUGUUGGAUAUAACCAAGGUCCUAAUUCCUAAUCACUUUAAUUGAUCAAAGUGGCCAAGCAAAUCUUCUUGCAGUUUGUCUUUGAAAAAAUCCUACUUGGAGUAAAAAUAAAUAGUAGUAAGUUAUAGCAUAACCAGUAAAUUGAAUUUGACCUACAAAAAAACAAUUUGACCACUGCACAUAUAACUCCAUAAAUUACUUACCACAUCAACCUUGAGAGGUCCAACAUGUCUAAAAGUCGCAAAAACUUUUCCAUGUUCAGCUCUAAUCACCUACAAACACUGAAAAGCAGAGGAAAACAUAUAAAUUCAUUAAAAUUCUCUACCCACGGAUAAGUUAAAAAUCAAAAGCAUUGACCAUUCCAAGGAAAAGAGCAGCCAUUAUUAGAUCACCCAAUACAUUAAAAAUGCAUUUGAUAAGGUAGUAUUUAAUUUCGAUAGUGUAGCUAACUGUUCACAUCUUUUUAUCCAUGCUGAAUAAUCUUCUAAUCCAUGCUGAAGAAUCUUCUACUAUUUCAGGACUCAGAAGAAAGGAUUGCAGACAAGAAUACGUUGGAGAAGACAUGGAAGAGAUGGAGUUACCACUGUUCGAUUUGACCACCAUAGCUAAAGCCACUAACAACUUUUCAAGCUGCAACAAGUUGGGAGAAGGUGGCUUUGGACCUGUGUACAAGGUAACAUGAAUUCAUGCAACGAAAAUUAGCUAUAUUGCUAUAAAAAAAAUUUAAGCCUUUUUGAAAUGAUGGUCCACAGGGUACACUGAUAGGAGGAAAAGAAAUUGCAGUAAAGAGGCUUUCAAAGAAUUCCGGACAAGGAACGAGAGAGUUCAAAACUGAAGUUAUACUCAUAGCCAGACUUCAGCAUCGUAAUCUUGUUAAGCUUCUUGGUUGUUGCAUUCAAAAAGACGAAAAAAUUCUAAUAUAUGAAUUCAUGCCCAACAAAAGCUUGGACUUCUAUAUUUUUGGUAUGAUCUUCAUUUUCAACCUUAUUAUACUAGGAUUCAAUGUGGCAUCGAAAUAACAGGCUUAAAGUUUCUUCAGAUCAGGAGGGACAAAAAUUGCUUGAUUGGCCUAAGUGCUUCCACAUUAUCGGUGGAGUUGCCCGAGGGCUUCUUUAUCUUCACCAAGACUCUAGAUUAAGGAUUAUACAUCGAGAUCUGAAACCUAGCAAUAUUCUACUAGAUGAUAAUAUGAACCCGAAGAUUUCAGACUUCGGCCUGGCUAAAACAUUCGGCGGUGAACAAAGUCAUGCCAACACAAACAGAGUGGUUGGAACCUAGUAAGCAUGCUUAGACUUGUUCUGUGGUUAUAAUUUUCAUUGUUCUACUUUUGAAAUUCUUUCUCACUAGUCGCUACAUAUUGAUCUGGCAGUGGUUAUAUGUCUCCGGAAUAUGCAGCAGAUGGAAUUUUUUCGAUGAAAUCUGAUGUGUUUAGCUUUGGAGUCAUACUGCUCGAGAUGUUGAGUAGGAAGAAGAACAGGGGAUUUCUUCAUCCAGAUCAUGACCACAACCUUCUUGGACAUGUAAGUUUAACCAACGAGGUGAUGAUAUUUUACUUUAAAAAGAAUAGUGAAUUAGACGGUGCUCUUCGAAGCACGUCUUCUAAUGACAUGCAUUUGACAGUAUAGAAGGUCCGCAACAAAGCCCCUUUUACAUAUUAGCCCACUAACAUAUCAUACAUGUUUCAAUUUGUUUUAAGGCAUGGAUACGAUGGAUUCAAGAUAAACCACUAGAACUCAUCCAUAAGACAUUUUGUGAUUCGUGCAACAUAUCUGAAGUGGUAAGGUGUCUUCAUGUGGGGCUGCUAUGUGUGCAAAGAGUACCUGAGGAUAGACCAAGCAUGUCAUCUGUGGUUCUGAUGUUGAGCAGUGAUGUUGCCUUGCCGCCUCCAAAGCAGCCCGGUUUUUACACUGAAAAAAGCGUCCCUGAAUCAUCAUCAAGGACGCUUCUUUGUUCAAAGAAUACUUUUAGCACUACGUUGAUAGAACCUCGGUAGAUCAUCAUUGCAGUGCUUGUGAGUCCUUUAAUCUACCAUCAC